AAAGUUUUCGUUUGUCGUAAUCGGGGCUUAGGGAUUUUCGGGAACCUAGUUCUCACGCCUUAACAUCCUUUUACCGACGAGUUCUUUUUAUCUUUGUUCCACCCCCUUGUUUCAAACUAUUCUUCGUGAGUUUGGGCCUAAGAAUUUUCGGGAGUCUUCUUUCACGCCUUAGCAUCUGCUCCAAGAGUCGUUCGGACUUAAGGAUUUAUCAACCGCCGGUCCAAGUGUGUGAAGUCCUUAGGGAGAUCGUAUCAAGUGGUAUCAGAGCCACACACUUGAAGAAUUCGGUAUUAUCUUUCUUUUUGUUUCUUUAACUUCCGCCUUAUCUCAUCUUUUUUUGUAAUCUUCCAGAUCUAUUUAAAAAAAAAAAUAGAAAGAAACUCUAUUAAAAAAAAAAACAAAAAUUAGUCAAAAAAAGAAAAAAAAAGAUCUGUGAACUCAAAUUCUUUUCUUUCUAUCUUCUCGUUUUCUUCUUCAUACUCGCUUGAUUUUCUGAUUUGGUUUUGGAUCUACAUCGGUCUCGAUUUAGUUCCUUUAGAACCGAAGAAAGUCUCUUGUGUGUGUGAAAAUAUUAAGAGUGCUGAGUGAAACACUGAGUGAAACACCAAGUGAGGAAUUUUAAUACUAACGUGUUUGUUCUUUUUACGAGGUACCAAUUUUUAUGUCAUCGGGUCCUUAUUCAGACUCAGGUGGAGAGUGGAACUACUACACCUUUCAUGACGGGAACCACAUUCGUUGGAUCAAUCCGGAAGAAAUGGAUGCCAAGCUCAACCAAAUCACCGAACUGAUGGAACGUAUGAACCAGCGAAUGGAUCGGCUGGAGAUGCAGCCACGGCAAUCCGAUGGAGAACGAAGUAAUGGCCGAAUCCGUGACGAGCCAGACCAUCUAAGGAGAGACCGCAAGCAAGAGGAAGUCCUAGACAAUCCCUUUUACGCAGACGGCCACACAUCUGGAGGAAGCCGUACUAGACCGCGAUAUCAUCGAGGCGUUCGUCGUGAUUGGGCAGAACGACGCGAGCCAAACCACGGGUCCGACCGCGGUCGAGAGGAUCAACACCAUGGACGAUACCCUGCGGCCCGAAACUGUGAACCAGCUGAUCUAUAUCAGGAGCCGUACCGCAGACAAGAACGGUGUGAACCAGAUGCAUCUCGAGGCCGACCUGAUAACAACCUUGGCGGGCUGAAGUUGCGAAUACCGCCCUUUUACGGGAAGAACGAUCCUGACGCUUACCUGGAGUGAGAGAAAAAGAUUGAAACCGUGUUUGGUUGCCAGAAUUUUACAGAGAGAAAGAAGAUCAAUCUGGCAGCUACAGAGUUCCACGGCUAUGUUGUAGAUUGGUGGGAUCAGAUCGUCACCAACCGGAGACAGAACGGGGAUCGACCCAUUGAGACAUGGGACGAGAUGGUGGGUCUAAUGCGACGACGGUUUGUUCCAAGCUAUUAUAACCGGGAACUACACAACAAACUUCGGCGAUUGACCCAGAGCACUAAAAACAUUGAGGAUUACUACCAGGAGAUGAAGCGGCUGAUGCUCAAGGCUGACGUGGAAGAACCGGAAGAUGCUACUAUGGCGCGGUUCCUCAGUGGUAUGAACCGAGACGUGCAGGAUCGUAUGGAGAUGGAGACCUAUCGGAGUUUAUCCAAUAUGUACCAUAAGGCCAUACUUGUAGAACAGCAGUUAAGGAGGAAGAACACUGUCCGGUAUGGAUCCAGCUCACGGCCCAACGACAAACCGAGUUAUUCUUCCCGAUCCGAUGCCAAGCCUAAGACCGAAUCUAAGCCGACUUCAUCCACAGCCGAUUACAAAGGCAAGACCGAGGCUACACCAGUCAGGAACAGAGACAUUGAGUGCUUCAAGUGCAUAGGUAAGGGGCACUAUGCUAACAAGUGUUCGAACCAGCGGGCCAUGCUACUUCUUGAUUCCGGAGAGAUCAUCAUCGACGAUGAAGAGGACACCAGACCGGUCUAUGAUGGCGAGGAGGAACACGCAGAUGAGGGUGAGUUGCUUGUUUCCAGGCGUGUUCUUAUUUCCCAGGAGCCGGUUAGAGACGAUGAGCAGCGGGAGAACUUGUUCCAUACCUGAUGCUUGGUCAUGGAUAAGGUUUGCAGUUUGGUGAUCGAUGGUGGAAGUUGUACCAAUGUAGCAAGCCAAACCAUGGUUGAGAAGCUGGUCCUAGAGACCAUGAAACACCCCCAGCCUUACAGUUUGUGAUGACUGAACAAUCAAAGGCAACUCAAGGUGACUAAGCAGGUAUCAGUUCCUUUUUCCAUUGGCCGCUAUGAAGACAAAGUUCUGUGCGACGUGUUACCUAUGGAAGCCGGCCAUAUUUUGCUUGGUAGACCGUGGCAGUUUGAUCACAAGACGGUCCAUGAUGGCUACACUAACAAGCACACAUUUGAGCAUAAAGGCCGGAAGAUCACACUUGCUCCUUUGUCACCGCGGAAAGUCUACCUUGAUCAGCUCAAACUUGAGCAAAACAGCAAAGGUAAAAACGUUCUGAGUGACCCCUCAAACACUACCUCCACUAAAAAUGAGAGUGAGGAAAUGAGAAAAACCCAGCAAAUGGCCUUUGAGAGUAAACCCGGGAGGUCAAACACUUCUUUAUUUGUGAGGCCGAGUGAGAUCAAACAUGCUAUGCUUUUAAGACAGCCUUUUGUCUUAUUUGUUUUUAAAGAAGGUUUGGCUAGCACUACUGACCCUAAGCUGGCCCUUCCGAGCAGCAUUUCUUCUGUCUUGCAGGACUUUGCCGAUGUAUUUCCGGAGGACGACCCACGCGGCUUACCCCCGAUCCGAGGGAUCAAACAUCAGAUCGAUUUCAUGCUUGGUGCCUCACUGCCAAACCGUCCUGCUUACCGAACCAAUCCGGUGGAGGCUAAGGAGCUGCAACGGCAAGUCGACGAGCUUAUGGCCAAGGGUUAUAUCCGGGAGAGUAUGACCCCAUGUGCUGUACCCGUGUUGCUGGUGCCAAAAAAGGAUAGAACCUGGAGGAUGUGCGUGGAUUGCAGAGCCAUCAACAACAUAACAGUUAAGUACCGCCAUCCCAUUCCGAGGUUACAUGAUAUGCUAGACGAGUUGCAUGGGUCUUGCAUAUUUUCUAAGAUUGAUUUGAAAAGUGGAUAUCACCAAAUCCGGAUGAAGGAAGGUGAUGAAUGGAAAACGGCUUUCAAAACUAAGCACGGUCUUUAUGAGUGGCUAGUCAUGUCCUUUGGUCUUACCAAUGCACCUAGUACUUUUAUGCGUCUGAUGAACUAUGUUCUUAGGUCUUUUAUAGGUGUUUUCGUUGUAGUUUACUUCGAUGAAAUUUUAAUUUAUAGCAAGACCUUAGAGGAACACGUUUUGCAUUUGAGAAAGGUGUUAGAUGUGCUUAGGCAAGAAUGGCUGUUUGGAAAUUUCAAGAAAUGCUCUUUUUGUACGGAUAACGUUGUCUUUAUAGGCUUUGCUGUGAGCUCGCAGGACAUUCAGGUCGAUGAAGAAAAGAUCAAGGCCAUUCGGGAUUGGCCGAGUCCAAAGACGGUUGGAGAAGUCAGGAGCUUUCACAGAUUGGCUGGGUUCUAUCGACGGUUGUCCGAGAUUUCAGUACCAUAGCCGCACCAUUGACCGAGGUCAUCAAAAAGGAUGUGGGCUUCAAGUGGGAACAGGCUCAGGAGGACGCCUUCCAUCUUCUAAAACACAAGCUUACUCACGCACCCUUACUUGUCUUACCAGAUUUCUUUAAAACCUUUGAAAUUGAAUAUGAUGCAUCUAGUGUAGGUAUCGGGGCUGUGCUGAUGCAGGAGAAGAAACCAGUCGCGUUCUUUAGUGAAAAACUGGGUGGAGCCACUCUUAACUACCCAACCUAUGACAAGGAGCUCUACGCCUUGGUCUGUGCACUCCAAACUUGGCAACAUUACCUCUGGCCGAAGGAGUUCAUGAUUCACACAGACCACCAGUCUCUCAAGCAUCUUAAGGACCAGCAGAAGCUGAAUAAGAGGCAUGCCCGGUGGGUGGAAUUCAUAGAGACAUUUCCGUAUGUUAUCCAAUACAAGCAAGGCAAGGAAAACGUCGUGGCCGAUGCUUUAUCCCGGAGAUACACACUGAUCUCUAUCCUGGACGCCAAGGUCCUUGGUUUCGAACUGAUUAAGAAAGCUUAUGCUUCUGAUCCAGAUUUCCAGGAAGUUUACGAAUCCUGUCUUAAGUUUGCUUCGGGAAUAUAUUUUCGGAAUGAUGAUAUCUGUUUUAUGAGAAUCGCCUUUGCAUACCUAACGUUUCUCUUCGUGAUUUACUUGUUGGGGAGGCUCAUGGAGGCGGUCUUAUGGGACAUUUUGGAGUAACUAAGACUCUGGCCGUGGUACAGGAACACUUUUUUCUGGCCACACAUAAAACGAGAUGUGGAACGGAUCUGCAGUCGGUGCACGGCCUGUAAGUACGCUAAGUCCAAAAGCUAAAACCAAGGUUUGUACUCUCCUUUACCCAUUCCUAUUGUACCUUGGACCGACAUAUCGAUGGACUUUGUGUUAGGUCUGCCUAGGACUAGACGUGGUAGGGACUCGAUCUUUGUUGUGGUAGAUAGGUUUUCGAAAAUGGCACAUUUUAUACCAUGCCAUAAGACCGACGAUGCAUCAAAUGUUGCUGAUUUUUUCUUUAGGGAAGUUGUGCGUUUGCAUGGAAUGCAUAGGACCAUAGUCUCGGAUAGAGAUACAAAGUUCCUUAGCUAUUUCUGGAAGACCCUCUGGUCUAAAUUAGGAACCAAGCUUUGUUUCUCUAUGACUUGUCACCCACAGUCCAACGGUCAAACCGAGGUGGUCAAUAGGACCUUGUCUAGUCUUUUGAGGUCUGUGAUUAAGAAGAACAUUAGGACUUGGGAAGAUUGUUUACCCCAUGUCGAGUUUUCUUACAAUCAUGCUGUGCAUUCUAGUACUUUGUAUUCACCAUUUCAGCUUGUAUAUGGUUUUAAUCCGCUUACUCCUUUGGAUCUCACUCCUUUACCUUUGAGUGAACGUGUAAGUAUGGAUGGCAAAAAGAGAGCUGAGUUGGUUAAGCAGAUGCAUAAGAAAGCCAAGAUGAACAUCGAGCAUAAGACGGAGCUGUACCGAAAGUAUGCCAACAAAAAUCGGACUGAGAAGGAGCGAUUUCCGGAAGAGAGAAAAUCCAAGUUGCUGCCAAAAGUGGACGGUCCCUUCACCAUUUUGGAGAAGAUCAAUGACAACGCUUACAAAAUUGAUCUCCAAUGUAAGUAUGCUGUUAGUUCCAGUCGGGGGGGGGGGGGGGGAAGAAGGGAACAUGGAACCAGAGGCUGAACCACGGGUCAAAGAUCAAGUCAUGGAGCAGGAACCGGACGCGGCUUUGGUCAUUCCGGACGGGCCAAUGACGAGAUCACGCACCAGGAGGUUGGCCAGAGCCGUUCAGAAGAUACUUACCGAGCUCAGGAACCAGAACAUGGAACCAGCAACAACAGAAGCCAUGACCCUUCUCACGUACCAGGGUACUUACUGACUUCAGUCUGGUAUAGUUUUUGGUACUCUUUUUCCUUACAUCUGGGUUUGUCCCAAUGAGUUAACCGGAUGGGUUUUAAUGAGGUCAAAAGCUAUACCACCACACGGCCGCAGUUCAGUACGUGCUUGGUUCACGGGUCAGAAGCUCAAGGGGCAUUUUCGCUGAAGCAGCUCAAGGGUCAGUCAAAGCUAGGUGAAGAGUCAGUCCAAGUUUUUAGUCAAAAUCAUUUAUUUUCUAUGUAAUUUCCUAUGCAUGACCCUUGGUCUAAUCCGCCCUUAUAUAAAGGGAUGAACCCUUCUCAUUUUCGGUCAUUCACUUUUCUUUAUAAAAUUUUGAGACUUUUCUCCUUUGUUCUUUUGAGAACUUUGUUGAUUCUCAGGUGGUUAGCCUAGAAUUAUUUUCGGUUUAUCAAGUUCAAUCCAUAGAACUUGAUGCAUCCUUCGUCUGUAAAGUUUAAAGUUUUCGUUUGUCGGAAUCGGGGCUUAGGGAUUUUCGAGAACCUAGUUCUCACGUUUUAACAUUUUCUUACCGACGAGUUCUUUUUAUCUUUGUUUCACCCCUUGUUUCAAACUAUUCUUCGUGAGGUUAGGCCUAAGGAUUUUCGGAAGUCUUCUCUCACGCUUUAGCAUCUGCUCCAAGAGUCGUUUGGAGUCAAGAAUUUAUCAACCUUCGGUCCAAGUGUGUGAAGCCCUUAAUAAGAUCGUAUCAUUUAUUUAGUAGAUCUGAGUGUUUCUUGAAUUAUAUUUGUCCAUAAUCCAAAAAUGGAACAGAGGAAACAGCAUGACACGUAAAGUAAUUAACUUUCUAUGUAGAACUAGUCUGCUCCAUGGAAGUUUGCUUCGGGUAAGCAACUCAAAUAUUACUUAUACUUUAUGCGUUUGUUAGUGGCAAUCAAAAACAAACUAAACUUCUUCAUGCUUUGUGUUUUUCCCUUUUACUUGUAUAGUUCAUAGAUCUGAUAAGUGACACAAAGUGGUAAAUGAAAAAAAGAGAACAGUAAAUAGUACCAAAAAUACUUAAAGAAGAAAAAAAUAAUGAUACAAAAAGUUGAAAAUAUCGUUUUUGGUACGCUAGUUCUUACUGUAUUUGUGAUUGUAACUACUGAAUUGAUAGAGUCCACAGUAUGAAAUCAGUAAAUUACCAAUUAAACAUUUGUACCGCACUGUGUUCUCUCAUUACUGAAAACUACUCAUUUUAUAUAUAAAUAUAACUGAGAUUUUUUUUACCGAAAUCUAAAUUAAUUUUUUAAUUUUUAGAUAUAUAAAAAAAUUAAAUAUUUUAGUUAUUUGAUGACAGUGACUAACAAUAAUUGGAAUCAAGGCCGACUAAAAGCCACUCCAACCAGACAGCAAAACACUAAAUUUGGUGUUAAAAUUACUCCAACCGAAUGGUAUAUGAGACGCUAUAUUUUUGUUUUUGCCGUUUCAUGAACAGUAUCACACCAUAUUUGGUAUAACACUCUUCAUCACACUAAAUAUUAAAAUAUUAUUAUUUUUAGUUGUUCUAUUAUAUAAUAUAAUUAGUUUGUUGUUUAUUCAUUGAUUAAAUAUGUAGCUAAAAAAAAUAUGACAUUGAUAUUUUUGUAUAAAUCAUUUUAAUGAUACAAAAAUUUAUUUGUAACAUAAUAUUUUUUCCCUCAAAUAAGAAUAUUUUAAAUAUAUAUAUACUUUUAUUUUAUUAUUAAUUACAAAGAACACUCAUUAUUUCUAAAUUUAUAAAUUAUACACAAAUAUUUACUUGUUAGUUUUGAUUUUUGGCUUUAUGGAUAUGUUCUACUAAAUGUUUUAAUGGUUUUAUAGAAAAACUUUAAUAUACCACACUAUCUCUUUGUGUUAACUUUAUUUUUUUUAAAUAUAAUUUUAAUUACAUAAUUUAAAUAUUUGUUUGUUAGUUUUGACUUUUGGCUUUAUGGAUAUGUUAAACUAAAUGUUUUAAUAGUUUUAAAGAAGUAUUUAAUAUACCAAACUAUCUCUUUGUCUUAAUUUUAUUUUUUAUUAAAAUAUAAUUUUGAUUACAUAAUUUAAAUAUUUGCUUGUUAGUUUUGAUUUUUGGUUUUAUGGAUAUGUUGUACUAAAUGUUUUAGUAGUUUUAUAGAAGAAUUUUGAUAUAACAUGUUUUGGUAUAAAACCUUAUAAGAAAUUUUAUAAACUUUUAUAAGAAAUCUUAUAAAUCUUUAUAAAUAGUUAUUGAUCAAUACUUAAAAAAAAGAAAAUUUAAAUAUAAUAAUAUAACAAUAAAGAAUAUUCUUUUUAGUGUGAAAUAUAAUGUUAUGGUUGGAGAUAGAAAAAAAAGUAGAACACUAUAACAUCAAAUUUGGUGUUAUUUUUACACUAAAUUUACCGUUUAGGUUGGAGAUGAAAACCUAAACGGAUCAGUAUAGGUGUACAACCUUCUAAAAAUAAAAAUCGGCUAUGUUUAUAAAUCGGUUUCUUUUCAUUUUACCAUAUAUUUUGCAACCUUCUUAAACUCAAAACCUACUUUGAUUGAUAACACAUAGAAAUACUAGAAUUUCGAUUCAUCCAAACCUCUCUCCAACACUAAAAGCAUAUGGUAUUCAACUGAGAAAAAACAGUUGGACGGUGUCGCAAUUAUUUACUUGACUCAAUAUGAGUCAUGACUAUAUGCCUUCUAAACGUAGAUUCUUCAGAAAAGUCAAUUCACCGCAGUAAGAUUUGGUGUUCAAAAUUCAUAAUAAGAAAAUUUAGUUUAGUUUUUUAUUUUAUUUUUUAAGCUAUGAAAAAUUAGUUUUUAAAUCAGGAAACUUUGGAAUAUAAAUAUAAAUAAAAAAGCCAUAGUUCAGAUUUUGUCUAUAUAUUUAAUAAAAGACAUAGUUCAGAUUUUAUUUAUAUUUUUAAUUACAUACAUGCAGAAGUCCUAAUGACCUUAGGAUAUGAUCUAUAGCCUGACUCGCAAUAACACACGCCACGCUAAAUUAAAAGUUUGAUACGAGCCGUGUGAACUAACUAUGAUUUAUUAUGACCACUAAAGUAUGAAAAUUAUGUUCCUUUCUAGCAAAUUUAAGCCGUUAAUCAUUCAAAAAAAAAAUUAAGCCGUAAAAUAGAAUGAAAAUAGCGUAGAAGAUAAUAAACGAAUAAUUGGCACGACGUUAAGCGUAACUUUACAUGGAAUGAUAGGGAGAAAAGUAGAUUUCACGUCAAUUAUUUAUAUUUUUUUCCUUUUUAUUUGCUUUGCUUUAGUGAUAAUUCACAUUAACUGGUAAUACACACCAUGUGAGAAAUGUUCAAAAAGGAACAGAGUAGGACAAGCUCGAAAGAUAAUUGUUUACCUGUCAUUUGUCUUGUCGCACUUUCUAAUUGUAUUUUGAGAACUCUAUUAUUAUUUUAUUAAAAACACUUAUCAUCUAAUUAGUCACUGUUAUAUUACCAAAAUUAGUUUAGUAAUAGACUAAUAGAAUAAGUCAAGGUAAUACGUCUUGUGCGCAAAAUUGAAAAUUCAAUCAAAAUGAUCUUUUCAAUUUAAAACGUCAGUCUCGUAAUUGUCUUUGUCCUACAAUUACAUUGCCACCAAAUGUAGUAGAUGUAAUGCAGGACAACUCGUUAAUAUUUUAUUUCUAUUUUACUUAUUUAAUUUUUAUAAUUCAACCACUAAUUACAACAAUAGAUUAUUCAAGUGAACGAAUCAAUUUAGAAUCAUUGAUUGAAAACUGCGAACGACACGGCCGGUUGAAACCUGAUCCACAAAUUGUCCCAAACAAUUAAUAUUUUGAACCAAUCUAUAAAAAUUAUUAAUGCCUUCGGGGGGAGACCAAUCAAUUUGAUUUCUCGUUUGAAUAAUGUAGAUCGGUUCAAAUUUCUUAGUUAAGAAAAUCAAUGAAAUUGGAUAAAAAUAAGAAACAAAUACUCCCUCCAGAUUUAUUUAGUUGUCGUUUUAAGGUUAUGCACACAGAUUAAGAAAAUAUUAAUUGUAUUAGUUUUUCAAUAUAAAAACAUCAUUAAUUAUUUAUUUAAACACAAUUUAACUAAUAAUAAAACAAAUUGCAUAAUAAAAAUAAUUAUAAAAAUUAAAAAACUAAUAAAUGUUACAUUAAAAACUGAAAACGACAAUUAAUUUAAAAUAAACAAAAUUUUCUAAAACGACAACUAAUAAAAAACGGAGGGAGUAAUAAUUUGUAACAAACUACAAAAUAAUGAUUAUAUAUAUAUAAUUUAGAUAACAAAUAAAUUUUUGUGUUCUUCAUCUUCAAUGAUGAUAAGAAAAUACGAAUAAAUUUAGGUUACUUCUUUUUUUAUGUGGGUAGCUUUGCAUCAUCCAUGUAUUACUCCAAUUAUUAAUUUUCAAUCGCUCUCAGUGCAAAAAGUAUGUAAAUAAAAAAGUAUUAACAGAAAAUAUCGAAUUGUUUUUCCUUUCUCUAAAGUACUGUCUAAUCAGUGACAAAAAAAUACAUAAGAUAGACGUUUAAAAAAAAUACACAAGAAAAAAAUAAAAAAAUUUAUGUGAUGCUCAACCCUAAAAUACUAAUGCAGGUGAUAUGUAUCUGAAAUUAGCAGCCUCUUAAAUUAAAAAAAAAUCUAGAUUUAAACAUUGAUAAAGACAAACUAACAUAUCAAACAAAAAACAAUUACACCACAACAAUCUAAAUCAAAUAAAAUAAAAAAGACUGAAAGAAGGUUGGCAAUAGGACCCACAAAACACACUGUCAGAAAAUCUUCAGAGUUUCAGAGAAGAAGAAGAAGAAAGAAAAAGAAGAAUCAAACAGUAGUAAAUCCCAGGAAUAUUAUAUUUUCUUACCAAAUCAAAAAACCUAUCUCUUCUUAUUCUUGUCUCUUCCAUUUCCAGAGAAUAUAGAUCCUAAACCAAACAUAUUCCCAGAAGGGACCAUGUUUAUAACCGGACUCACUCUAAUCCCUCCUCCAUGGCUUCCAUAACUGUAACCUCCGUAAUUUUUCUUCAAUGGCGGUUUCUGAAAGCUACUGUUACUCGAUGUAGAAGAAGAAGAUGAUGAUGAUGAUAAAGACGACGAUUGUUGUAGCUUUAUAUGCUCUGUUGUGUGUUUCCUCGAGCUCUGUUUCGGUUUACUCGACGUAGAACCGGUCGAAUUACUCCGGUUUAGUAACGGUAACGGACAUAGACUCCGUCCGUAACUACUUCCACAGUUUAAACUGCUGCUUCUCUUAAACCCCCAAAACGACUUCGUAUUGGGUUUCUCCUCCGUUACGGAGACGUCAUCGUCUUCUUCAACCGGUUUCCUCUGUUUCCUAAAAUCCGGUUUAGUCGGUUCGGUUGGACCGGUAUCGGGACCUUUCUGACCCGGAUUGCGUUUCUCGGGCGGUGGCGAUUCGGGUUUCUUCUUCUUCUUGAUUUCUGUUGGCAAGAUUUGUCCGUUACGGAAGAGUUCGUCGGCGGACCAAGAGCCUUGGUCGAAGCUUUCGGCGGAGUUUACGCCGCCGGGAAUGCAGAAAUCGAAAUCGAUGCUUGAAUUGAGACUGGACGGUUUCGAAUUCGACGAUCGUAAGGGACGUUUCUCGAUCGGAAUUGCAUCGGAUUGACAAAAGUCACGAGAAAAUGAGAUUCUUGGACUCAUAUUAGAAUUUUCCGAUAGAAGAUCCACCGCCAUUAUAGCAAAACGAACAAUUUCCGAAUUCUGAGAGAAAAGGAAGAGACUUUCUUGAAUAUUGAUAGAAAGAUAGAGAGACGUGGAGAGAUAUUUGGGGAAGAAGGUGAAGGUGGAACGAUAGGAAGGGUUAGAAUUUAAUUUAUAUUUUUUACAAGUGAAUUAAAUUUAAAUAAGUGUUUUGAUUUUGAUUUAAUAAAAUGGAAAAUAAAUAAAAAGAAUUUUCGGGUGAAAGAAAUUGAAAAAGUGAAAGGGAAGGAAUAAAUAAAGAAAUGCUAAUAGAAGAGGGGACAGAGAAGCGUGUCUCUUGCUACAUAUUCACAUGCAUGGGCCAAAAAAGGAUAUAUGUUGGUUCUUCACUUUGUACAAUUUUAUUUUCUAUGGUAUAAUUUUAUUUGAUGUAUAUCUUUUGAAAAUUCUUUUAAGAGAGGCUAUUUGGAUCAUUGAUCUGGGAAGAUAUGGAAUUUUUUAUAAAAUCCACUCUUAUUGGAUGUCCAAUAUUUCAAAAAGAUAAUGCAUUUCGGAAAUCUCUUCAUGUUAUAGGAUAUACCAUGUCAAAUUAUUUUACAAUAAUAUACAAUCUACCAUUAUUAUUUUGAAAGUUUAUAAACUAACAAAAAAAAAUCUAGGGUUAUUGAAUCAUUUCUAACUGUAAAUAAAGAGUCUGAAAUUUUUCAAAGAUUUGAAUAUAUGUACUUAUAGUUAUAUACUCAACCCCUUGAAAAUCUCUAGAAAAACUGACUUUUUUGGAGAUUUUUAGAAAUAAUAUUUCAAAUUUAUCAUUUUUUGUUGACUGAAUUAGGUUUACUGGGUACUAUAGAUGGGAGAUAUAGGUUUUUCCGACUCUGAUACAAUGAAAUAUAUUUUGAGACUAAAUUUUCUUUGAGUAUAUAUAGCUUCAAAAUAAGAAUGAUCAACUGAAGAUACCUUGAACAAAUGAAUGAAAAAAUGUAGUAUGUAUUUAUUUUUUAUGAUUCUCGAUGUUAACAAUGAUUUUGCUAAGUCUUUUGCGUAUGGGGAAGAUGCUUCUUUCAUCGAUCCUUCUGCUUUUAUAGCAUUCCAAAACUAAUUUCUCCGGUCAUUACAAGAAUUAAAUUCGUAUUAAUUCUUUCGAUUUAACCGUUCCCCUUUUUUAUUCUUCGGGCUUUGAACAAUUCUUGCUUUGCGAGGUAAUCAUCUUCUUUGUUUCUUUUGGUAUUUUUUUUUUUUAUUAGUCCACUGAAUUUGGAUGAUUUACUUUAAUUUAUUUGUGUAUUGUUCUCUCUAGGCUGUCAUGGAUCAGGUUCAUAGUGAAAUCCAACACUAAAAACAACGAUAUGAUCGAAAUUUUGAGAGCAGGUAGAAGAAUCUCUAAUAAUUUCAAAUAUAAAAUAAUCCACCAAAACUUUAACCUGGUUUGUAGCAAAUAAGUUUAGAGUGAGAUUAAUUCUCUAAUUGUGUGAGUUCACCACAGCCAAAAAAAACAAAAAAAAGAGCUACAUCCCCGUUAUGAACUUUUUUUCCUUCAGCAAAGGGGAAUCAAAUAAAAACGACUAACUUUUACAAAAAGAAAAAUACGGUUAAUACAAACACUACAAGAAAACAUUACAUAUUCCUACCAGAUAUUUCAUCAGAAAAUCGUAGGAAACCGGCUUUUCCUAUCAAUUUCCUACCAAAUAUUUUUGUAGGUUCUAUGCCGUCAGAAAUUUUCAAAGGUAGAAAAAUCGUAGGAAAUUUCCUACGAAAAUUUUGGUAGAAAAAUUUUGGCGGUAGGAUAUUCGUAAGGAAAAUACCUACCAAAUUACUUCCAUCUUUCUACGAAAUAUUCCUAUCAUUUUCCUACCACUUGAGAUUUUGUAAAAAAUAAAAUUAAUUUUAUAAAUUAAAAAAAUUAAAUUAAUUUCAGAAAUUAAAUUUAAACUAAAAGAUGAAUUAACUAUUAAUUCGAUUAUUAAUAUAUAUAUAUAUAUAUAAACAAAUUAAUUAAAAGAGAGAUGAAAAUCUUAUUUAUAGAAUAGCUUCAUCAUCCAAAUUGUCUCAGAUCAUCGAUGUGGGACAAAACCAAAGUUGAAAUGUUCCUACAAAAUUCCUACGAUUUUUUUACACAUAAUAUUUCGUCAGAAAUUAGUAGGAAAUUUCCUACGAAAUACUUACUAGUAUAAUGGUCAAUUGUAUCCUAUUACUUUCCUUUCAAAUUUUGACCGCGUGGUAAAUUAUUGGUAGAAAAUAUCCUACGAAAUUUCGACAUAAUUUUUGGUAGGAAAAUCCCUACCAAUUUCUUAUCACUUUUACUUUUUGUCAAAAUUACGUAGAAAAUUGGUUAUAAAAAUUUCUUACCAAAAAUUUCGUCAAAAUUUUCAUAGGAAUAUGAGAUGUUUUCUUGUAGUGAAACAAUUUAGCAGUACAAAUACUUGAAAUCUACAUAAACUUAGUCGGAUGUUAAAAACAAACAAGAAAAAUUUUUUAUGUAUAAUAUCUCAUACAAAAUACACUGCAUUUUUCUGAAAUGUCCUUCCAAAAUUGCACAUCGGUUUUUGAGUAAUUGGAGGAAAUAACAACAUGUUACUUACAUAAAAAAAUGUUUAGUUUUUGUCAUUUGACAAACUCGCUCUUGGUUUUUUUUAGCUCACAAAAAGAAAAUCAAAAGUUACAGAAAAUAUUUAGAUCGUAUCAAAACCCAAUCAAACCCAAAGUCAAUAAAAGUAAUCUAAAUCCAAUGAUAAGUCAAAAAACAUAUGUGCAAUGUUUGAAAUGUUUAGAGAGUCAACGUUGGGAUUCGUGUUGACUAAUGUGAUGAAGCAUUGAACAUAGACCAAUGGUGCCAAGUCACCGACCCGAGACUUUAACCAUACUAAAGUUUCGUCACGAACUCUAUCAAGUUAAAGAAGUGCAUUCACAUAUUUUAAACCAAAUCAAUGAUGCUUUUACUAUGGUGUACUAGGAAAUGCUACAUUUUAAAGUAUUCCUGAUGAACAAAUUUCAAACGAACACAUGUCUCGCUUCUACAUAUCCUUAUAUGUUGCUUGCGAUAACUAUAACCAAGUAAAAACAAAUAUAUUAGGUAAUCAGGUAUUCUAAAUGCUAGAAAGAUUAGUUGAAAUUUUAGCAAAAAAUGGUUAGAUGAUAGUAUAAUUCUUAUAAAGUAUAAGAAUAAUAAAAAGAAAAAACACGGUGGCAUUGUUGAUACUCCCCAAUCAAUACGAGCAGACACAUAUCAUAUAUAUAUCAAAAUUCAAGAAUAUAUAAGAUUUUAGGUUAGACCAUAACACAUAUGCGUUGUUAUCCACUUUUGUAAGUUGAAUAUGAAAUAUUUAUCUGGUAUCCUUUUACAAAAAAGAUUAAAAAAAAAAUGAAAUUCAUGUAUCUGAUCUAAGAUUUCGUUAUGUUUUUUUUUUUUCAUUGUCACGAUUGUAUCUUCAUUCCUUUUAAAUUUAGUGUCUACUUAGUUCCGUUGUAUACUUCUUAUACAUACCACUUGUAAAGCAGUGACAAAACCCUAAUUUCUAGUACUUAUAGUCGAAAGUAUACUUUUUCUUUUAAAACCAAAAAUUUCUGAGUCUAGACCCAUAAUAUUUUUGCCGGGAAUUAGACCAAGUUAAUUUAGUCUCUUUCCCACCGUCAAUUCUUUGAACCCAAAAAAAUGGGUUAGUUACCGAAGGCGGAUUAUAUUCAACAAUUAAUUCAAAUAUAGCUUCCUAUUUCAAGGAAAGAAAUAUUACUCAAAUAAAAUGAACUUCUGUGUAUUCUAACUAGAUGGGUCUUUAGUGAUAGAGAAGUCCAAACUCCUUCAUUUUAAUGAAUCAGACGAAUCAUAAGAGUUUGCUUUUAUAAAAAAAAAAAGAGCUUGCUUUUCAUCAAAAUAAAAAUCGAUUUUUGCUUAAAGUGAAAGUAAAGAAAUUGUUUGUGUGAUAGAAAGAAAAGAGAAAAGGAGAUUUCAUAUUAUCUAGAGAAUGAUAAGGAAAUUACAAAACAAUAUACACUUGUGAAUUAUAUAUGAAAACAGAAAAACAAAGUAAGCAUGGGCAUGGGUCCGAUGGCUACGUACUUACCGAAAACGAAGAAAGCCACUUAGAGAAACUGAAGGGUUGAUAAAUGGUCCACGUUUUCCCCUAAAUCCUUUCUUUUCAUAACCAUUGGGUCGCCCAUGAGCCCACCUAAAACCAACCCGACCCGAUUAGAUCCAACCAAGAAUUGUCUACUCUUCUUGAUCACUUUGCCUAUUUUGGCUGCUCUCGGUAAUAUUAACAAGAAGUUGUCCAAUUCGGUUAGGGUUUGGUUAUGAUGACAGAGAGUAAAAGAUGGUCCUGUCCGACAAAUAGCAUUGGUGCUGUUUUGCUAACAAGUACCGAACUGCUUUGUUCAGACCAAAAACAAAAAAUAAUCAAUCUGCUUUGUUCUCUACAGAAAUUGAUUAUAAAAGCUGAAAUGGUAAAAAAAAAAAAGUUGUUUCCCUUAAGUCAUGAAAAGAAGAAAUAUUGUUUUUGGUUCCGUUUGAUUUAUCAAUCAAUAUGGCCUGAAUCAAUAUGACCACUGAGAUAAUCAUCCAAAUCCAGAGAUAUGCAUGGUCGUCGCCCUCGUAUUAGAGAGGGUUGUGUGCAUGCUCAUAGGCUUACUUACAGUCCAAUUGACCUCACCAAAGUGAUAGAUUCCUUUCCCAAAAUCUUUUUGUGAAUAUGAAUAACAUAUUUCUUGAUGAUUUUUUUAUAGAUGCAACAGUAAAAAAUCUGUCGGAGGAUCUCUCGCCUACAUUUUAGUUUGCAUAAAAAAUGUGAAGUUUGGUUUACAUUUAAUGUAUACGAUUAUGGAUGUGGAUCUAUCGAUCUGUGUAUGUCAUUUUGAUGAUUCUUGGACGAGUGACGGUGCAACUAGUGGUUCUUGAUGGAUUAAUGGCACAUCCAGUUUAUUGGGUGAAAUCUCAACACCUUCAUCUUUAAACUCCAUAAAUGAUUUGGACAAUGAAAUGUCAACAACAUAAUCACGAUUUAUUUAUAUUUUGUGAAGGUUUUUAUAUGAUGACUUCUGCACCAAAGUUACAUGAAUUAGCCAUGAUUAUUAAGUUUUUAUCUAAAAGUUACAUGAAUUAGCCAUGAUUAUUAAGUUUUUAUCUAAAAGUUACAUGAAUUAGCCAUGAUUAUUAAGCUUUUAUCUAAAAGUUACAUGAAUUAGCCAUGAUUAUUAAGCUUUUAUCUAAAAGUUACAUGAAUUAGCCAGGAUUAUAAGUUUUUAUCUAAAAAUGAGUUAAUUCGUCAAUUACAUAUACAAACAACGUUUAGGCAGAUUUCGUUGCUUCAAUAAUUAAAACGUUUAAAUUCUAUUUCGUUGCUUCAAUAAUUUAAAACGUUUAUUCUCUUUAGUAACUUUAGUUGUGAUGCAUCGAACUUUGUUUGUAUAAUAAAGUUGCAUAUGCUUGUUGACACAAUAUUCUCAGUUUUCUAGCAUUGAUAAGCAUUUGUAGACGAUCAAAGAACCAUGUAGGAUACAAAUUAGUUGUCAAUAAUCUAAAAUACAAGUUAUAAUGACUUUGUACCUUACAAUCUUACACCACUUAUACAUUACAAUUCUGUUGGUCCAAACCACCUAAGAAAGAAAAAAAGAAAAGAUGAAGAUCGUUAUACCAAACAAAAAAAAACCCGCCAAUUUUCUAAAUUAACCCUUUUUAUUAGUAAAGUUUUCUAAAAAUCAACUUUUUUUUUGUCAACAACUAAAACCAAUCUUAGUCAAAUUUUUGAGUUAUCCAAAAGAAGUCGACAUUUUCGUUAGUUCCAAAAUAGCUCAAACUUUAGAGUUAUCUAAUUUUUUUGAUGAUACUACGUAACAAGUUUAACAUUCAAAAAUUACUCUAAUCGAAACAAACUUGAAAGAAAAAAACUGCUGUGGAAAUAAAUAAUACGCGUUAUCUUGAAAAAAAUAGGAAAACUAAACGCGCGAUUUGGUCAAUGUGGUCGUGGAUGGGUCACCUAAUCUUUUUAAUUUCCCUCUAAAAAAAGAAGAAAUAAAUUUUCUCCCAAUUUCCUCGAAGAAGAACAUUAGAAAAUAAAAUGUCAGGAACUGAAAAAAACUACGAAACCAAUCAGAUUCGGCCAUUUCUUUCCCUCUUUUCUUUUUUCUCCCAAUCACUCUUCAGAUUCCGAAAAAAAAAGCAAACAAAGAAAGAAAAAAUAGAUUCUUUAUCACCGGAGUUUUCACCGGACUCUUAAAAGAUGAAUACGCCGAACUGGGAACUCCGGAGUUGCUGUAACCGAAACCAGAACACGUUCCUCAUCACCAUCGGAAUCUUCACCGUCGUUAUCCUUGUGGUUAGUUUUUCCCAUCUAAUGUCCUUGAGAGAAAGAGUUUAAAGUUUUGACCUUUACUUGUUUUCUUCGAUUCAAAUUGAAGAUCCGACAAAUUUUUUUGUAAAAGUUAGUUUAAAGGGUAUCUCGAUUGUAGUGUUUUAUGCAACUGUUGACUUAUAAUUUCAUUCAAAGUUUGUGACUUUUGGCAUCAUAAAGUUUCUAUAUUUGUUCUUGUUUCUUAAGAUCUUCACAGAGAUUUCUUGGUUUUGUUUUUAACAGCUAUGGAGGACAUUUCUAUUGACUCCAUUUAAACUAAUCACGGUGUUUUUGCACGAAGCGAGUCAUGCUGUUGCUUGCAAGCUCACAUGUGGAGAUGUAAGGAAGCUCUCUCACUUCAACUACUACUUCAAUGAAACUAAAAAAGGUUACAAAACUGAUUUUAGGUGUAAACCCUUAAUUCAGUUUGUAAACUUGAAUUGUCCUUUUGAUUUGUUAAAUUAUACUGGUUGAUUUGUGAUCCACUUUGCGAGCAUAACAUCUCUUUAGAUAUGCACAUUUACCAGUCGAAAGGUUUGCUUUAGCAUUGAUGUCUCUGCAUUUUCUCUGGACAUGACUGUUUAGCAUAGAGUGGAUUUUAGCAUCUUGAUUCAGUUUGCAAACAUAAACCGUCUGCUUCGAUAUGGAAAAAUACACUUGGAACUCAGACUAAUUUUAGGUUCCUUGAAAGUUUAAAUGCGGUCGGGGUUCGCUUUGAAUAGGCAGAGAAGAUGUUUUUGUUAUCAUCCACUACUCGCAUGGCUUUCUUUAGCAACAAUACCUUGUGUAGAUUGCUUUAGCAAUGUUUGUCUUUGGAUAUGGCUGUUUAGCACGAUCGUAAAGUUGGCAUCUUGAUGUCGAGUUACGAUAUCCUUAUUUAUUGUGCCAUUCGCUAUAUUCCUCAUUUGGUAAACAUUGUUUUAUCCUCACUUGUAUAUGAUUCUCGCUCUAUUGCUAAUAUGUAAACUACUAAUAUACGAAUAUACGUCAUUAGUCUAAGAAGCCAAGACACACAGUUAGCUCAAACCUUAGCUUUAGGUCGACCGUAGCGUAGGACUAAAUGUUAACAGAUUAUAGCUGGCUGCUGGUCUGAGUUUGUGAGAAAGCAGUUAGUGAAAGCGAAAUCUGUAAAGAUGUCUCUGCAGAUUGUUAAGGCUGUAGAAUUUAUAGAAUUUGAUUGGGAUUCCGGAUGAAAGCCUUUUCAUUAAUAAGUUUCUCUAGUUGGUGAGUGUUAUAAGAAUAGCAGUGUACAGCUUAGCUCUUAUCAUAGUUCCAAUAAUGCAGAAAAGAUAGUAGAUAAGUUACACCGCUCAGCCCAAAAAAAAUCUUUGAUUAUGUAUUGAUUGCACAUUAUUUUCAUCAAAUGCGUGCAACAUUCUCUAUGUUAAUCUGCAACUUCAUUUUUUCAGUUUGCACUUUGCACAGUCGCAUAUAAUAUGGAUAUUGUGUGCCUAAAAACAAAUGUGGCUAAUUUUUGUUUGAACUUAAUCUUCUUCGUAUUGAAUCAAAAAGGUGGAGGGGAUGGAGGUGAAUGCAAAUGAAGGAGGUUCCACAACAACACGUGGCGGCAUCUAUUGGCUGAUCUUACCUGCUGGCUGUAAUAUACAAUCUGUCUAUCUCCCUUAAACAAAUCAACCAUUUUCAAAUUUGGACCUUCCAUUGUUGAUGGCUAAAAGUGUUACAUAUAUAUUUGUUGUAAUGGUUAUAGAUCUUGGCUCAUCAUUUUGGGGAAUGGCUUUGAUUCUUGCAUCUACUAAUCUGCUUACAGCAAGAAUAGCUGCUGCUGGUCUCGGUCUUGCUUUAUUCAUCGUCCUCUUCAUUGCCAAAAACGUAAGUAGAAUUCAUUUUUAUCUCAUUGAGGCAUUGACAUCAAACCAAUGACAUCCAAAUUUUCAACCUUGACAGUGGACGCUUCGAGGUCUUUGUAUAGGUGUGCUAUCUCACGGUUCUUCUUGUUAAAUUUUUCAUUUUUUAGUUCUCAAAAUGAUAGUUGACAAAAAGAUUCUAACAAUCAGUGAAAAAGUCUCUCAGGUUUCAUAGUUUUCCUCGCUAUCAUAUGGGUUCUACAAGAGUUAACUACAGUAAAAAUUCUCCGUUAUGUCAUUCUGUUCAUCGGUAAAUGAACCUCAUUUUGUUCAGUCUUGUUAACAUGUUUGAGUUUCAUCUUCUCCGUAUGAAAGCCAGAUUCUUGAUAUUGCAGGUGUGAUGAAUAGCUUAUUCUCAGUUUACGGUAUGUGUUUCCUUUUCUCUCCCAAUAACUUCACUUAAAGUUAUGAACUUAUGAACAAGAAAGAAGCCUCAUUUGGUUUUGUUCUGCAAUGGCUAUUAGAUAUCUACGAUGAUCUGAUAUCGCGAAGAGUCCAUUCAAGUGAUGCUGAGAAGUUUGCAGAGAUCUGUCCUUGCUGUACUGGUUGUGGCUGGGGUGUCAUAUGGUGAGACUUUAAUCCAAUUUUACACACAAAAAACAACAAAUCUUUGUUUUUUCUUUGUUUCUGACCAAAAAUGGUUUUGAUUUUUCAGGGGAAUGAUAUCUUUUGCGUUUCUUUGCGCAUCAUUGUAUCUUGGGCUAGUGAUCCUAUCAUAAAAAGGUGUUCUUUUGGUUUUGGCUUUCUUGUUUUUUGUUAAGCACAUUUUUGCUUUUGAAUUUUGAUUAAGCGUUUUCAUGAUUUUUGUGAAUUUUUGGUGUCUCUCAGGUUUCAAAUUCUUUCCAGUGAACUGCGGAGUCUCCUUUCUUUCAUCUAUGCGCAGUUUUUUAACAGAAAACAUUUUUUUGAUUAAAAAGCUUGAUUCUUUAGAUCCCUUUGAUGUAUUUACAUUUGAUUGAAAGUUUAGGGUUUAUCAUUUUUUUUUUAUUCAUUUUGGAGUUUGUGUUGAAUAGAAUUCAUUGAUUGUUCUGUUUUAAUGCAUUGUAAGUCCGUUGAUCUUGUCAUCAAAACAAAACUCCGUCGACUUAUUCCUGUAAAUGGUCAUAGUAUCCUCGAUUAGACUUCGUCCUUUCUUCCAAAUUGAUACUUAAACACCAAAAUCUAUUAUAUAAAGACUCAGCUGAGUCUCACAAACUUGACACAUCAGCUUUCGAAAAAAAUAAUUUUCUCAAUUCCAAAAAAAUCUAAUUUAUCAGCCAUGACACAAGUACAAAUCUAGUUUCUAUCUAGAAAAGUCAUUCUCUUACAAUAAAAAGGAAAUGCAUUGAAUUUAUAGUGUUAUUACUUUGUAAACGACACCCGAGAAAAUUGAACGAGGCUAAAAUAAAUUCAUUUUUAUAAAAUGGAGCGGCAUUCCACCUAUUUUUCAUUUUUCUCUUACGCGCUUAAAAAGCUCCAGAAAUCAGGUAUAGCGCAACUGCAGUCACGUUCAUAACCAACAUUAGAAAAGAAUUAAGGUCUUGAAAUAACAUAUCCAAAAUGCAUAUUUCUUGUGUUAAUUUUGUUUUAGUGAUUGUGGUUUUUAGUGUUUCAGAUCAGAAAGGCGAUCAAAUACAUGGAUAUAAUCACUCUACUCUACGUGUCUACGAGGAGGAAAUGAUAACCAAUCCUUCUCUCAUAGAAAGAGAGCUAGGAUCAAGCUGUAUGUAGUGUAAUUACACACUAUAUAUAUAUAUAUAUAUAUUCAUUCCUAUUUUAUGUAUAUAUAUAAGAAAAACUUUAUGUGCCAUUAAAAAAAUUAUUUCUUGUUUCCAUAUUAAUUUAGAGUUUUAUAUGAUGUUUUUUGUUGUUCGCAAAACAUUGAAAAAACCAUAAAUAGUUUGUUUAUUGCAUGCAUGAAAAAUUAUGAUAUCUUUGUAUGCGUAAUGCUCUGGUGCCUAACAAUAUUAUUAGGUUUAGAGCAGAUGAUAUAACAAACGAAGUUGAAGUUUUAGAGGCAUUUUGUCUUCUGUUCAAUUUCUGUUUAUAGUUUUCGUACAUCUUAUAUAUAUACAUAAAACUGACAUAUAGUGAAUGCUUAACUCAAUCUAAAAUCAGUUAUAAAAUUUUCUUACGUAGCGCCUUAUUUCUCUGUCACAUAGACAAAAUUCUUUGUGUAUCAGGAGAAUGUAAUGCCCAAAUUUUAUCAUAUUUACUUUAUUGACGUCCGAACUUUAUAUUUUUAUAACAAAAAAUGAAUAUUUAGAAAGAAAUUAUUGUUUUUAAUAUUUAUUACCCUAAGCAGAACUCAAAGGAUUUGAGAUGAGAUUUAAAGCUAAGCUGAAACAAACAAACGCAAUAUUUUGUAUUUUAUUGUGUGUCUUUGAGUGUACGUAUUUUGUUAAUUUUAUUUCAUUAGUAAAAAAAACAGAAAAUAUAUAAUAAACAGACAGAUAUAUGUCUUAUUUUAAAGAGAUAACAAUAGAAAGUGAUUUGCGAUUACGUAAUUCUAUCAUGAUCUAGAAAAUUUAAAUUCGCACAUAUAUAUGUAUAUAUAUUAUUGAUCAACUUAACUAUUAUAUAUAUAUAAAUUACCGCGUGUACACGCGAAGUUUUAUCUAGUUAUUGUAAUAGUUGUGUACAAAAUAUCAUGGUGUAGAAAAUAAUUGUUGUAGUUAAAAAUUCAAUAAAAAAAAUAAUCAAAUUCUAUUAUAUGGAGGAAAAAUUUCAUAUUUUGUACUCUUAUUAAAUUUCAUAAUAUUUAAAAGUAAAUUUCCAUUUUUCUUCAAAAUUACAGCGAAUAAAUCCUAACUUUUUUUGUUUGAUAGAUAAGCAAUCUUUUUUGUCUGAUGGUAUAAAGAGGUAUAUCGUUUGGAAUCUUCCGAGGUUCAUCUUGCAUUAUCUUGGUUCAUCUUCCAAUAUAUCUAUUGGUUUGUAGAUUAGGUUGAAGAAAAUGAGAAAAAUUUGUAGUAAAACCUUUCUUUGAAUAUUUCUGUUAUAACGAAUGCGAAAAAAUGAAGUUAUAAACAUAAGGAACACAACACAGAUUUAACGUGGUUUACCAACGAUGUGUUGGUUACUUCCACGAACAAAAAAACCUAUUUAUUAAGGGAGGCAAAAGGUUCAGAAAACUCUGAUGAAGGUUCUGAAUCAUAAUCGGAAUACAUCAGAAUCGGAAUACAUCAGAAUUAGGUAUCACAUAGGUAUUAUAACUACCUAGUUAACCCUAAUCAUUUUUGGACCUGUCGUUCACGCCUAUGUAACGUCCUUAAGCUGAUAGCUUCGACCCAUUACUCAAACCGACAAUCUGCAGUAAGCUUCGUAGCUUACACCUCAUCUGAAAACAACUCCGCAGCUUACACAAUCUGUAACCAACAUCUUCUACAGUUUGCUAUGUAGCUUGCACCUUCCAGAGGUCACACUUUCCGCAAGUCGCACCUUAUGGAAGUCGCACCUUACGCAAGUCGCACCUUACGCAAGUCGCACCUUACGCAAGUCGUACCUUCUGCAGGUACCUUCUGCAAGUUGCACAAUCUACAUUAUGCUCUGUAGGUCCGCACCUUCUGCAACUUGCACCUCUCACAGUCUCAGAUUUAAGGCACAUUAACAAAUCUCCACCUUGUCUUGAAUCGUCCAAACAGAUGUACCAGAUGCACUUUUACAGUGCCAGAUGUACCGAAUUUUUCAUUUGCCUCACACGUUUGAUAACACCUAAUUUUGACAUAUUUUCACCAUUGAUUUCAAAUGCUUUUUCAAAGGUUUUAAUCAGUUUUAGGAAUUUUUAUUAUGAUUUCCAUGUAUUUAUAGUUUCAAGACUUUUUUCAGGAAACUUAGGGAAAAUGAUGGCAAAAUGGAAGAAAUCCACUUUUUAAAGCUCAGAGUCAGACCGUCAGAAGUUCAGCCUCAAAUGAAGACUUUUUCAACGUCUGAUCUAGUUCAAAUUUGGAGACAAUCAAGAGGAGACAACCAGAUUUCCAUAGCACUUUACAUCACAAAGAUUCAAUUGUGCAAUCAAAAGAUACAUGGAGAACAAGCUGACCCAGUUUACCAGUCCUGGAAGACUCUCACCCGCGGCAAAAUCAUGUUUUACCUGCCCUGGAAGACUCUCACCCCCGGUGUACCUUAGGACGAGCCACAAGGCCCAACAUCAAAGCCCACUUCGCCAUUCCUCUUUAGAGAAGCCCUAAAUGAGACCUGGAAAAACUUAGGACCUAUAAAUACAUUGUUUAGCGGCUCCAAACAGGUGUGUGCUCCUGUAAUGAGAUUUUGAGCCACCAAAAUCUGUUUCUCUAGGGUUAGGCGAUGGAGAUGGGGAUUCUUCCCCAGAUCCAUUGUUCUUUCUCCUUUCAAUUCUACUAACUUUUCUGUUUCACUCUUUUGCAUUUUUCUAUGUCUUUUAUUAUUCCUUGCAUCAUGUAGAUCUGUCCCAGAGAGUCAAGUUGUUUUAAGAGUCAUCGAUGAUCAUAUAUAUCGAUUAGGAUUUCUAUAGUUCUAAACCAUAUUCUGGAUCUCAUCUCUUCUAAGUUGUUCAUAUUGCAUGAGAGUAGAUUCAUGACCUAUUUUCUGAGCCUAGGAUCGAUCAGAGCCAUGAGAGUGUUGUAUCAGAUCAUCCAUACCUAGCUUCAGAAGAACAUAGUCGCUAUAGGAGUCGAAAGCUACCCAUAGAGAAGAUGUGAGCAGACGAAUUCAAUGUCUAAUGCAUGAUCUUAUUUCUGUCAUGAGAGCGAGAGUUAAUUGUCAUAUCUAAGUGAUUAGUUGAUUAAGAUGACGAGAAUUAGUUAAUCAUACAUAUGUCUAUUGUAGUUCCAUGCAGAUUCCUAGAAACAGAUGAAGAUAAAUCGCCCGGAAGCUAAUUGUAAAUGCCACCAUACAUCGAUUAUAGUAAAUCGGAGAAGUCUAAAUUGCACCCUAUGAGUUUAAGAGUAUUUAGUUUGAGUCGAUAUGCUUGAGAUAUGCUUGAGAUAUUCUUUUAACAAUUCAUCAUGCAUUGCAUUUUAUCUCUUGUGAAUAUUAGAUUAGGUUUAGUUUAGGACUUUUAACUAAAAACCCCAAAACGUUUAUUGGUUUAUGAUUUUGCUUACUUCCCAGUUUGUUGUUUCUUGCAGAUUAGACAUUCUCCCUAUGGAUCGACACCCUAAGUUCUACAAUCUGUGCACUUUCAGAUUUUAGGGUUUUAUAAAUUUAAAACUUUCUUUAUGGACCAAUGAGCUUGUAUGAAAAACAACCCUAGGCCCGUAGCUCAUCAAAGUUUUUGGCGGCGUUGCCAGGGAGGUUCUUAGUCGCUGGAGGUCUAAACCUAGGAGGUUGAAGCCACAAAAGACAAUAUAUAUGUCGAGUUUCUGCCAAAAAAUCAUAGGAAGUAAACCAAACUCAUAAACACCCUAACUUUUUUUUUUUCUGCUUAUUCUCUCUUCUGUUUGCCCUAGUUUCAGAAAUCUUUGAAGCAUGGAUCAUCCAAGAAGAAAUCCUAACCCUGAUCGAAGGUUUUGCAACUUGUGUGAAGCUCCCUACGCAUGUGAAUCACCUUCCAGGCGUGAUUCCAAUCAUCCAGUUCGGCCAGAUCAUCCGAACCACCACCAUGGAAACUCGCGACCUCUACACCAUCGAGAUGAGCCCUUCACCUGGUGAAUCGUCGACCAUCUCAUCCUCUUUCUCAUCAGAUUAUGCACCAGAACUAUGAGGAUAAUCUGUUUAAAAUCCUGCUAAAUCGAUUGGAAGCCAAGCUGAAUCAGUUCCUUGCCUCCCAAGCCAUCAUCGAUGCUGCCCUGCGAACAAGGAUAGAUGACAUGACCGUCGACCUUAACAAAAGGUUUGAUGACCUCUCUGAGCAUGUGAAGAUACUGGAGAUCAGAUAAUCAAAGAUAAUGACGUGUCGAACCAGAGAAUGGAGUCUGUCGAAGAAGAGCAGGACAAAAACAAGUUCAACAUUCGACAAAAUGAAAGGGAGCUGCAAACCCUAACUUUCAAGAUCGAUGACUUGGAUAAGGAACUGAAUGAGAGCAAAAACCAGACCUACGACUACACAUUGGAGCUGUGGCAGGGCGUAGCUAAGGUUGAAAACAAGACAGAAGAGCUUGAUGCUACUCUAGACAAAGUUGUCUAUGCUGUAGAUGAAGUAGAAGAGAAAGUUGAAAAACUUUCUAAAGAUCAUAAGGAGUAUGAUCUGAACUCUAGAAUCAAUGAUUUGGAUACCCAAGACGUGCCUAACAACCACUGGAAGCAAGAGAACAAUAAUGGAGAAGAAGAGAUUUAAGAAGAAAGCAUAGAGAGCCGGAGGAAGCUGACCGCGGCUGCGAGUACUUCACCCGCGGCCAGAGCCACUUCCACCGCGACUCCAAGCUCCUCACCCGCGGUAGAGCAUGAUUUCUCAGAUUAGGAGAACUUCCAACCUCUUUCUGAAACCUGUUCAACUGCAGACCAACCCCUUGUGACCAGAUCUAGGUUGUUUGAUCAAGUUGUCUUCUCAAUCACUGCACAAGCAUCAAAAGAAAAGGAAGAAUCCAACACUUAUGAAUCUUGCAACAUAGUUUACACUUGUGACAAUGAGCUUCAAGAGCAAUUCUCAGAAGAUGAAGAGUAUGGUUUGUUUGUUGAAGAUCCAAACUAUGGGGACAAUUCAUCUAAUGACAACUCAGAACCAAUUACCAAGAGCAUAUCCAGAGAGAGACUGAUUGAAUUCAACAAUUUUGUGAAGUCCAUUCCUCUCUACCAUGGUUUCGACGACAUCUGGAAGCAAGGCUGCCUUCAAGUUUUUUUUUCAGAUAUAGCAAGAAGACUAAGGAGAACGUCUACACUUAUUUCAGAAGAGCCAGGUAUCUAUCUUUUCCUAGAUCAUCACCUGAUGCAGCUGUUUACAUGAUCCAUCUCAAAGAUCCCCACGAAGCCAUUGACUACACAAACAAGAUCAACAAAGAAGCACUUGAAGAGUCAAUCAAGUAGUUCAAAGCCUCCUAGAAGGAAUUUCAUUUGCCAAAGCAUGUAGAGACUACAUGAUCGGCCACUUCUUCUAUGACAGCAAAGAUUCUAUUCAAGAGAUGAAAGACUUGUUCACACACGCCCAAGAAGGUAGACCAUUUCGAAAUCUGCACAAAGUUCAAGACAAAGGUCAAUUUCUUAUAUCUUGUGAUAUUAGAGGUGAAAGAUUUCUCAAUAUUCUUUGUGAUUCUGGAGCUUGCAUUAACAUGAUGUCCAAAGCAACUGCUUUGAGACUUGGCAUUAAGCACAUUUCAAAUACCAUGACAAAGAUUAGCUUAGCAGAUGGUUCAAGUGCAACACCAAGAGGGAUAUCCCGAGAUAUUCCUCUAAGGAUUGGAGAUUGCAUUGCACCUGUCGAUCUAUACAUAGUGAAGACCAAAGAUGACUCUUAUCCACUUAUCCUUGGAUGGUCUUUCUUAGCAACUGCUGGAGCCAUCAUGGAUUGGCCCAACAGGAGAUUUUAUUUUGCAAAUAUCGACAAGGAUAUCUUCUAUCAAGCUACACCACUUAAGAGCAAAGGAGAAAAGCAGAAAGCCUAGGCCUUUGAACCAGAAGAAAUCUGGAGUGAUGAAGAACCUGCAAGACAGAAGAGAAGGAUUUCGAAAAGGACUUGUCUUAGGACAAGAUCCUAUUUGAGCUAAGUCUUUUUCUUUUGCAAGUGUAGCUAAGGACUAUAAACCAAAGCGCUUGAUGGGAGGCAACCCAUUUAGCUACUUAUUUGCUUCUGUUUAUCUUUCUUUUUCUAUUAAAGUUUUGGUUUUUUUAUUUUAGACAGGCCUUAGUAUGCCACAAAAAAAGGAAGAAAAAGAAGAAAGAGAGCUGACCGCAGCCAAAGGAGGUUCAACCGCAGCCAGCAAGCAUUUUGCCGUGGCCACGAAGCUUUGAACCGCGGCCAGCACCACUCGGCCACCCUUGGCCAUUUCCACCUCUACCUUGAUUCAAAUCCAUCCAAGUUGGAUCAAGCACCACUUCACAUCAUCCACCAUCCACCAUUCAAUAUCCUACCACCUCCACAACCACCUCAUAAUCCAUCACCACACCAGGUAAGUUUUCUUUUCCUUAAUCUUUUUAAAUUUUUUCACAUACUCUAUUUCUCAUCCUUGCCUGAUUUAUUUCAUACUGGGGACAGUGUGAUUUAAGUAUGGGGGAGGAUUUCAUCCCUUUCUAACCACUUUUUCUUGCAUGAGCCUUUGCAUUCUGCAUUUUUCUUUAAAAUUUUUCAAUUUUUUUUUCGAUUUUUCACAAAACUUUUCAAAAUUCUUUUGAGUUUCAAAAAGUGUUUUCAAAGGUCAAAUACAUUUUAAGGGAAUAAUGACAAAAUCGAUGAUGAUAACCAACCUGUUUGCUUCUACACCAAUGAUUCAUAAAAAGCUCUUUCAAGGUUUAGUAUUAGACUUGGCGGUAGCUGGAGUACUUACACUACGAAAUCCUACCAGAAGACUUCUAUUCAUGAAGAUAUUUUCUAACAGGAUAUUCUAGCUCAUCUUACUUGGACUUAAUCUUGACAUCUAAUUUUCUCAUCAAUGGUUUUAAGAAGGCAUCAUGAUAUACAUCUAGGACAUCUUUAUCUUAUUGUUACCACUCUUUGUUGUCCUAGAUGGCCAGUUCAUCUUUAGCUGGUACCUCACCUUUAACCCAAACCUUUAUGUUCUAACCUCAUGCAUUCUCUCUUAAGUAUAUAUUGACAGAUAUGUGCAAAAACGCCGUAGAGGGAGGAACAACAUAGUUUUCAGUCAUUCAUGAGAAAAACUGAAAAAGACCAGAAGGGAGUGUGCCAGAAAUCUUAUGAUUCCUCAGAAAAGCUCAUUCUUAUAAGUAAAUUUCAUGCUUUUUAAGAUUAAGUCAAAAGGCAGUUUCCCCUUUCCCAAAAAAAAAACAAAAAAAAAAAGAAGGAAAGGAAAGAAAACCAAAAGCCUAAAGAGUCUUAGAAGCCGAAAUCAUUUGAGCCAAGGCAAUAGGUAUCCACCUAAGGAGUUAUGGAUUCACAACCUAGACAAAAAAUCCAAGUCUGGGGGAACUAUAAGGAGAACCUGAAGAAAGGAGAUCAGAAAUCUUAAAGCAAAGAGAAUGUGACUGAAACAGUGGGGGCAUUUACAGUUCCAUCCUCUCUUGCUGUUUUGCAUAAUGUCUUGUCUCUCCAGAAAAAGGUAACCCUAAACACAUCAAACCUUACCAUUAAAAAGCCUUUUUGAUACCUAACCUUGAAUGCCUUGUUUGAUAUCCUUUUGAUGAGAAUCACUGAAACCUUUAAUAAAUGUUAAGAGCUAGGUGACUGGAAGUUAGUUCUAAGUGUGUGGAUUUUUGCAUGACGGAUUAACAGACUAGUUAUGUUUGUAUUUUGGUGAGAAUUUUCUAGACUUGAUCUGAUUGACGCAUUGUCCAUAAUUAAGGUCUAGAAGUAUGGUUGCUGAUAUUUUUGAGUUCCCUCUCACUUUUGUUGAAUGAUAUUUUUCCAGAUUUGAUCUUGUUUUGUUUGAGGACAAACAAAGUCUUAAGUCAAGGGGGGGGGGGGUUGAUACCACACCUGAUUUUGACCCAUUUUCACCAUUGAUUUCAAUGCUUUUUCAAAGAUUUUAAUCAUUUUUAGUAAUUUUUAUUAUGAUUUCCAUGUAUCUGUAGUUUAAAGGUUCUUUUCAGGAAACUUACGGAAAAUGAUGGAAAAAUGGAAGAAAUCUACUUUUUUAAGCUCAGAGUCAGACCGUCAGAAGUUCAGCCUCAAAUGAAGACUUUUUCAACGUCUGAUCUAGUUCAAAUUUGGAGACAAUCAAGAGGAGACAACCAGAUUUCCAUAGCACUUUACAUCACAAAGAUUCAAUUGUGCAAUCAAAAGAUACAUGGAGAACAAGCUGACCCAGUUUACCGGUCCUGGAAGACUCUCACCCGCGGCAAAAUCAUGUUUUACCUGCCCUGGAAGACUCUCACCCCCGGUGUACCUUAGGACGAGCCACAAGGCCCAACAUCAAAGCCCACUUCGCCAUUCCUCUUCAGAGAAGCCCUAAAUGAGAUCUGGAAGACCUUAGGACCUAUAAAUACAUUGUUUAGCAGCCCCAAACAAGUGUGUGCUCCUGUAAUGAGAUUUUGAGCCACCAAGCUAUGUGUUAGGCGAUGGAGAUGGGGAUUCUUCCCCAGAUCCAUUGUUCUUUCUCCUUUCUAUUCUACUAACUUUUCUGUUUCAUUCUUUUGCUUUUUUCUAUGUCUUUUAUUAUUCCUUGCAUCAUGUAGAUCUGUCCCAGAUAGUCAAGUUGUUUUAAGAGUCAUCGAUGAGCAUAUAUAUCGAUUAGGAUUUCUAUAGUUCUAAACCAUAUUCUGUAUCUCAUCUCUUCUAAGUUGUUCAUAUUUCAUGAGAGUAGAUUCAUGACCUAUUUUCUGAGCUUAGGAUCGAUCAGAGCCACGAGAGUGUUGUAUCAGAUCAUCCAUACCUAGCUUCAGAAGAACAUAGUCGCUAUAGGAGUCGAAAGCUACCUAUAUAGAAGAUGAGAGCAGACGAAUUCAAUGUCUAAUGCAUGAUCUUAUUUCUGUCAUGAGAGCGAGAGUUAAUUGUCAGAUCUAAGUGAUUAGUUGAUUAAGAUGGCGAGAAUUGGUUAAUCAUACAUAUGUCUAUUCUAGUUUCAUGCAGAUUCCCAGAAAAAGAUGAAGAUAAAUCGCCCGGAAGCUAAUUGGAAAUGCCACCAUACAUCGAUUAGAGUAAACCGGAGAAGUCUAAAUCGCACCCUAUGAGUUUAAGAGUCUUUAGUUUGAGUCGAUAUGCUUGAGAUAUUCUUUUAACAAUUCAUCCUGCAUUGCAUUUUAUCUCUUGUGAAUAUUAAAUUAGGUUUAGUUUAGGACUUUUAACCAAAAACCCCAACACGUUUAUUGGUUUAUGACUUUGCUUACGUUCCAGUUUGUUGUUUCUUGCAGAUUAGACAUCCUCUCUGUGGAUCGACACCCUAAGUUCUACAAUGUACAUCUGUGCACUUUCAGAUUUUAGGGUUUUAUACAUUUAAAUCUUCCUUUAUGGACCAAUGGGCUUGGAUGAAAAACAACCCUAGGCCUGUAGCUCAUCAACGUUCCAAAAUGCACUUUACCGUGCCGGAUGUACCAGACGUCCCUUGUAUCAGAUGUACCUGAUGCACGCUUGCCAGAUGUACCAGAAUUCCCUUCUAUCAGAUGUACUAAACGCACCAAUAUUAUGCCAGAUGUACCAGAUGCACUCUUACUGUGCUAGAUCUACUUGGUGUUAAGUAGAACAGGUGUCUCUACAGACCAGACGUCCCUUUGGACCAGAUGUUCCGUCGGACCAGACUCCACUGCGGACUAGAUGUUAUUUCAGACCAUACGCCUCUUCGGAUCGGACAUUGUUUCGGAAUAGACGUCCUUUCAGACCAGACGCCUUUUACCAGGCUCAUAUACUCCUCCAGAGCCAGAUGCCUUUCACUGGGCUCAGAUGCUCCUUCGAGCCAAACAACCCUCACCGGGUUCAGACGUUCCUUCAAGCCAAACGUCCCUUCGGACCUGUAGUGUAUGAUCCACCAUAUCUUCGAAGCCAUAUAUCUCUGUGGAUCCAACCUCAUUCCUUGUAAGCUGAUCAUGACAUGUACUACGGUGAAUAUUCUCAGAUGGUGUCAGUUCUGACAGAUCAAUUUCUGUCUGUAGCUCUUGAAUCUCUUCGUGUAGCUCAGAAUCAGUCUCGUCACGAUAUAUAUACAAAUCCACCUGCAUCUGUAACUCCACCUGCUUGUCAAAGCUACUGUUCUCUGUAGCAGCUGUGGUUAAAGGUUCAUCUUGGAACCUUCUUUCUGAAUCAACAUUAGAGAACAUGCACUUCGUUCUCCGCAGCAGCAUCUGAUUCAUCUGCUCAGAUACACCAUUCGGUUGUGAUGUAUCCGUAACUGCAUGAUGUUGGACAACUCCUUCAUCCUUGCAUAGCUGAUUGAGCUCUAAUGAACAGAAUUUCUCACCUUCCUCUGACAGAAUUUGCACCUUCUUUUCACCUAUACGACCAAAGCUCUUAUGCCACAGCUUUGUUAUAUCUUUGUGGUGAAUUUCUGAAGAUGCAACAUUCACAGAACCUGUAGCUGUGGAACCUCCACCCAUACCCUUGUGCCCUCCUCUGCUGCAGGUGAAAUCACCUUCAUCAUCCUCAUUUUCAUUCAAUGGAGCCGCAAAUCUCUAUGACAGAUAACAUCUUCAACUUUCUUUUUCAAUUUUAUCGAAAAAUGUGAGAUUAGACGCAUAUAGAAUGGGAACCAUCUCUAUAAAAACAAUAGAUUUUUUUUAUGAAGAGAUAUCUGAUGUCCAAUAUAAUUUGUUGUUAUAAUUUGUAUCUAGUUUUUUUGUUAUCAAAAUGAAUGUUCAGAUGAGAAUAUUGUAAAUUAAUUCUUAUCAUGAUAUUUUGAAUAGCAUAUGAUUUUGAUUAAUAUUAAUUAAAAUCAUUAAAUUGAAACUAUAUAAUAUUGAUAAGAACUUUAAAAUUAAUUAUCUAAUGAUACAUAAUUUUAGUUAAAUUUUAAAAUCACUUAAAAUGCAUAAACUAACAGUACCCAACUCAAUAUAUCUUGGUGAAAAGGUUCUUAUGUAAAAGUCUAAUUAUAUAAAAAUUAUAGUAAGGAAAAAGAAUGUGCGUUCUUUCAAAAAAAAAAAAAAAAAAAAAAAAGAAGAAUGUGCAGUGAGCAAUCAUAUAUUCCCUUUAAAUAGUCUCAGUACUGUCAUUUUGAGUUUACCCUCUGUCUCCCCUAUUUUUUAUAUUUACAGUUUUUUAAUAUUAGGUUUUUACUAAAAUAAAAAUUUCACAUCGUGAUUUAUCAGAUGGAUCCUAUCCAUUUCUCAAUUUAAUAAAUAAUAUUUCUUAAAACUUUUCUUGUCUUACUAUAUUCUCAGCAUUUUGUAACACUAAAUAUUUAAAAUGCAAUAUUUAUAUCUUUUUGGACUUUACAUUGAUAUAUAUAAACUUUCGAAUAUUAUUAUGUUAGAUACACAAUUUCUAACCAGAGAGGAAUUUACAUAGUAAAUAAAAUGAUAUUUAUCAUAUUUUUGUAAUUCUAUUAGAAUUAUCUACAUUUUUAUAUGUGUAAAGCUCAUAUAAUUGGUUUUGCAUUCUUAAUGAAAGUUUGUUAAUAGAACUAAUAUAAUUAUAUCAUGGAAGAAAAACUAAUAGAAUUUAUUUUUAAAAAAUGAUAUCAAUCUAUCAAUUUUAUUGGGCACUAAAACAUUUAGGGUCCUGCCAUUGACCAAUACUGUCUACCUCCCAUAUAUCUACCAUUAAGCCAAUACAAUUAUUUAAACACUUUUGUAGAGAAUUUUUUUCUACAUUUGAUAUUUAUAGAAAGACCUAAAAAGAAAUAAAAUCUAUACUUUAUCAAUAAUAUAAUUCUGAAAGGUCGUUUUGAGAUAUAUGUGAUAUAAUAUUAUAAUAUUUAAUUUAUAUAUGAUAUCUAAACUUUACCAAAUACUAAAGUUUUAUAUUUUGAUUAGUCUACAUUGAGAUUACAUAUUGUUUCAUUAAAAUAUUUUAUUUUUAUUUUAUGCUAAAUUUAUAAUCAAUAUUAGAGCAUUUAUUACUUGGUCAUAGGUUUUACUAGAGUUGAAUUUCAUAAAAUAUUAAAUUUGGUCAAAUUAAAAACAUUUGACUCAUUUAGAAUAUGUAAAGAGUAGCGAGCCAAAAGAAGUUGAACUUCUCAAAUAUAAAUUAAAUUUUCAAGCGCAAAGCUCAUGGUACAAUCAAGAAUCUGAAUAACUUUUGAAUGGCCACAUUAUUGUAUAUGAAUUACAUACAUGUAUAUGUAUGAUAGAAUAUAUAUAUAUAUAUAUGUUUUCUUGGUAGUGAAUGAGAGGAGGAAAAAAAAUAAGAGGAGAAACAAUGAGAAAAAGAAAAGUUCAUAAAAACAAAAAUCACAAAAUCAUAAAGUUUUUUCAUUCUUAUUGUUCUGCUCUUAUAUUUUUUUCCUGUCUCUCAUUCACCACCAAAAAAACACAUAUAUAUAUAUAUAUAUUUAUGUAUUUUUGUGUAGCAUUUGACCAUGCCAAUCCGAAAUGCUAAACAAAAAUAUAAUUUAUUUUUCCAGAUUACAGGCCAAGAGAUAGUAUGGAGAUAUAUAGAAGGCGAUGGUAUGAGGGUUACAAAAAUAUUCAGACUAUUAACUCAGAUUAAAAAUUCUGUGAGAAGAAAAUUCAGAUAUGAUUCCAGAAUUAUUUGUUGAGAAUCAAUCCAAAGUUCCACAUCGGAAGUUUAGACUAAUAUGGUCUAAUAUAUAAGUAAUGUCCAACUCUAAUUAGUAUGAGGUCUUUUGGGAAGGAGCCCAAAAUCAAAUCCGUGUGGGCUUUGUCAGUUGGGCCCAAAGCAAACAAUAUCAUACUAAUUGAAAAAGUUGGACAUGCGUUUUUCAAGCCCAAUAUUAUUCAGGUGAAAAUUUUCAUCACUAUUUUCAGAAUGAUAGGCUAAAGUGUAAGAGACAUUUUAUUAUUAUUGUAUCUCAAAAAACGUGGAAAUGUUACAUAAGCCUUUAACAGUCUUUUUAAAAAAAAAGCUAUAUUCAAGAUAUUUAGUUUUUUUUUUAAAUAAUAUAUAUAUAUAUAUAUAUAUAUAUACACAUAUAUAUGAUAUUUAAACUCUAUAAAUAAGAGUUUGAUAUUUCUAGUCCAGAUAAAGUAACGUUAUAAUGCUGCCCAAAAAAUAAUACUACAAAUAAUUAUUUUCUAUUAAAUUUACAUUAUAGCAUUUUUUUUUAUAACAUCUAUUUUAUUAGAUAGUAAAAAAGUAAUACAUCAUGUUUACAAGCCAUUUUGGCAAAGAUUGAAAAACAUAAUACAUAGCAUGAAAACAACAAUACAUAAAAUUAAAAACACAAAGCACUAAAUCAAAGAAGAUGAGUUUAAACGAUUUUUUUCUUCGAAUUUUUCUCGCUGAAAAAGUGUCCACACCUUCUUUCCUCGUAAUCGCAUUUGAUCUAAAGCGAUUUUUUUUUUUGCUAUGAUCCAUCUUUUCUCCUGUUGUAUGUUAUUGACACAUUUCCAAGUAAGAACUAAAAAUAUUCUAUGAAUAAGAAUCCAAUCUUUUGAUUCUUUCCAUAGAAAAAAUACUUGAAAUUGCCAAUUUUCUACGACUGUACGUAUGUCGCCAUACCACAAGGAGUUUUCAUCUUCCGCUCCAAACCCUUGUCCCCUCCAUGGUGGUUUCCAUGUUUGUUGUUCCCAUAGUAAUGCCAUAUCCGGCUGAAUAGAAUCAUCGAAGAAGAUCAAACAUAAAACCCAAAUUCGCCAAUCAUCGUUUCCAUGACUCCUAACUUCUCCUAUUCCCGGAUCAAAAACCCAAAUUACAUCUCCAAACCAUACAGUGGAGGAUAAUAAAAACUGCUGUGAGUGUUGAUUUAAUCUUGGAUCAAUUUGAGUAAAUUGGUUCAAGAAAGAAUUAAAAUCCCAACCAAAGACUUGACGAAUUAUAGCAUUUAUUAUUUGGUCAUAGGUGUUACUAUAGAUGAAUUUAAUGGAAAUGUUAUUUUUGGUCAAAUCAAAAUUAUUUAAUAUUUAUAAUAUGUAAAAAUUUGAUCCAAAAGAAGUUAAAACAUAAAUAGAAUCUCAAACCACAUGAUACAAACAAGAAUCUGAAAAAAAGUUUGGAAUCUCCAAUAUGAUAUACAUUUGCAUUAUUAAAAAAAAAUGGCACUCAUUGUUCUUCUCUCAAUGCUUUUUUUUGUUUCCUUCUCUCAUUCACCACCACGAAAACACACACACAUAUAUAUAUAUAUAUAUAUAUAAAUAUAUAUAUAUGUCAUGCAUUAUCAUUUAUCAUCUCAUCGAUCUAACUCAUGCACUCAGGAUCAUCAUCAAAAUGAUCUUCUCCCUCCAUAGCCUCUCUUGGAUUUCCGGCUUCCAUAUUCUGUUUUCCGCAGGGCUCCAUCACAUUAUGUUUCUGACUUGUCGACACUAGAUUCAUAGAAAGUGAUUGAUCAUGGUUGGUGUCAGGGGUUGAGUCCAUCAGGGUAUUAAAGGCAGAGUCAUGUCCAAUACACCUCGUCGAAAAAAGAAUAUCUUCCUUAGAAGAGCCAAAAUUUCGAACCAACAGUCAAUAUCCAUCUCAUUGACGUCAAUGUCAAAAUAAAUCAGCUCUUCGAUCGGAACAUCAUUAUCUUCCACAUAAGGAACCAAAGCCAUAUCUUCCAUAUUAGUUUCAAGGGAUUGGGUUUUAUUGGUUUCAAAAGAAGCAUGUCUUCAAGAAGAAGAAAACUUUCUUCAGAAAACAACCAAUCUAUCUGGUCUGUAUUGGUUUCGAAAAUGGUGGUCGUAUUGGUUUGAGAAGAGGUUUCAUAACUUGUUUGACCAGAAGCAAAACCGACAUGGGAAAUGACAUUUUGAGAAAGAACAUGAUUUUCUCCAGAAGAAACCAUACCCAUCUGGUUACUGAUUUCAGAGGGAAUCAUAUUUUCAGAAGCAACAUAGCCUUCUACUGAAGAAAUAUUGGUUUCAGGAACAUUUAUGUUCAUAUCAGUUUGAGGAAGAACAUAAUUUUCUAGGGUAGGAAUCCAAUCCAUCUGGUUCAUAUUGGUUUCAGAUGACUAAUGUUUUCUGUUGAUGGAACACAACCUAUUUGGUUUAUAUUGGUUUCAUGAUCGCGAAUAUUAUCGGUUGAUGGACUCCAACUUAUCUGGUCCAUAUUGGUUUCUAAAGUGUUCAUGGUAAAGUCUAGAUCUGGAAGAAAAUAACUUUCUCCCAUAAUGCACAGAUCAGCUUGAGGAACAUAAGGCUCUGGUAUAUAAAUAAAGUCUAGAUCUAGUUGGUUCCAAUCGAUUUCAAGAACAGAUGAGCUAGGUUGAAAUGGGUUAGGUUCAGACUGAGGAAUACAAAUCCCGGAAGACUCCAUCUGGAAUGCAUCUGUGUUAGAUGCACCAACACUUGAUGACAAACCAUAAAGAACAGGAGGGUUAUCACUACUUAAGCCACUAUGGUUAGAUGCACCAACACUUGAUGACAAACCAGAAAGGACAGGAGGAUUAUCACUUAAGCCACUAUGGUUAGAUUCUCCAACACUUGAUAGCAAACCAGAAAGGACAGGAGGAUUAUCACUACUUAAGAUAAUAUGGUUAACAUCAUGGAUAGAAAAAAUAUGGGAAGGUGGGUUGUUACUUGUGGCUGAAGGAGCGUAAUUGACUUCCAUAGGUGACUUGUUUAAUAGGUUACCAAAAAGUGAGUGUUUACUCAGAUCCAAUUUUCCACCUAGAUGAAACUUGGGCACCAUCUUCGCUUUGCCCUUUUCAGCAGAUUUUUUGAAUGAAUCUGCAUACAAGAAAAACAAAAAACAUUAUUGACACAAAGAUGUUGAAUUGUGAAAAGUAUAUAUAUAGUAAAAGAACAUGACUUGCAUUGGUCGAUGGAUCAGGAGGAUGCUUCCUUCUUUUUCAGAGAAUACCACUUUGUGUUACUUUCAACGAUAUUCUUUGCUAAGUUGGAUGCAUUGAAAGGAUAUUCAUAGUCUGAAGGGUAGUUGAAUGUCUUAUCUGUUGACCUCCAUUCAUUCCUCGACAACGAAUGGUUCAUUAGCUUAACUUGUGCUUUGUAUUUCUGAAACAAUUAAUUAUAGAAUAAAACAGGUUAUCAUAAGGCUAGUAAAAUUAUAUAUUGAAAAAGAGUGUAUAUAAAUGUAUAUAUGAACCUGAAGGUGGCUACCGACUUGGCAAAGAUUCAAGUCUGAGUCAUUCAUAAUGCUCAAUAUGGAUUUAGGACAAGAAUCUGUAGGAUAAAGAACUGUAAUCAAUUGGUAGAAAGAAGAAUUGGUCAAAACAAAAAAAAUCUUACCUUUUGCACCCAAUAUGGAUAUAGCUGUUAAAAAUAUCAUUUGGCGCUCCUGGAGUCAAUACAUUGCAUCGUCUUCCAAUAUUACUCUCCAUAUUUAUUCCUUCCUCUCUCUUGUUCUCAGCCUCAGUGGGAUAAACCGGUUUAGUUUUUCCUUCAUCAAUUGCUUUGCCUUUUCUCUUUUGGUAUGUUUCAGGGGUUGUAAAUGUUUUGACGAAGGGUCGUCUUCCUAACAAAGAUGACUGACUUGUUCUCUGCCUCUUUAUGGUUUCUCUAAGAGAUUCAAUCUGAUUUAGUAUAUUUUUCUCCACAACUUUCUCUUGUUGUUCAGCGAUGUUGAUUUUCUUUAACUCUUGGCUCUUCUUAGGUACCACAUGCUGCCAUAGGUUUUCGAUGUCGUUUUCAGAAAUCGGCUUCGUUAGACAAAAACGUGCACUUUUUGUCAAAAGAUCUGAUGUUUCCUUGGUAUUUAUUUCUGGACUUAUCACUUUAACAUCAAAAAAAUAGAUAAAUUAAUCUGUGGAAGAAAGUAACAAACAGUGUAAAGAGUAAGCGCAAGAAGAAUGUGUAAAUGUUUGCUUACGUAUAAGAGGAAUUUUUUUGUGAAGCAAAGCAGUGAGAAAGGAAUGUGAAUCUAUAUGAGGCAUUUCAAUGUUGGCUAUCACAAGUCCAGUAUCCUUUUGCUUUUCGAUCAUCGAUAAAGCCUCACUUGCCUUGUUCAAGCUCAUCACUAGUACAUCAAUUUAUAUAUUAAAUAUUUACAAAAUCCAAAAAAAAACAUUGUUCAAAACAAUAAUCAAGUUUCUUCCAUUUUAGUUUUAGUUAUAUAAAAAAGUUGAAAAAACAAUAGAUUAACACGCACAUUUUCGAUUAUAUAUGAUGAUUAGCUAACCUAAUACAUAAUAUAUUAUUUAUAUACAUAUUAAUAUUUGAAAGAAAUUUUUUGGGCUAGAACCAGACAUCUAACAAUCUGAUUAUCCGAUUAAAAUAUAGAAUAUAUGUAUUAAAACUCAACAAUUAUACAUCUAGGGUAUUCAAUAAAAAAUUAAUAAAAAAUUAGAGUUCAAAUAUUUUAUUAAAUUCUUUCUUAUCGAUUUUUAUUUAUUUACAAAAAAAUAUUUUAAAAGAGAAAUUUAUAUGCGUAUUAUCAAUUAUAUUUGAUGAUCGACUAAUCUAAUACAUAAUACAUUAUAUAUAUAUAUAUAAAUAUUUGAAAACUUUUUCCAGCUAAUACCAAACAUUCGAAAUCAUGUUAAGAAAUCAUUUCUAAAUAACAUCAGUUAUCAAAAUCUCAUAUAUAUUCCACAAAAUAUAGAUUAUACUAAAAUUUAAUGGUUUUUACAAAAUAGUAUCCAAUAUCUAUGACAUAUUAUUAUCCAAACUAAUAAUCGUAGGUGAUUAGGAUUUUCAACAAAAGGGUUGUAAGAAAAUCAUCUUCAAAACUGAGAUCCAAGACCAAUCAGUAGCCUAUAGCUUUAAUAUUCUGUAAAUUAAAUUAUAAAUUAUAAUUUUCUAUGCGAAUUCACAUUUCUUCAAAUUUGUUCAGAGAUCCUGAUUUAUACAAUGUAGAAAUCUCAAGAUCUAGAGACGUUGAAUUAUAAUCAUCAGGAAAAUAUUCAGCAAAUGCUAAAAUUUACCAUACCAAAUGUAACAAAUUAGAAUAAUACCGUUGAUAUGUAAAUGGAAAAAUGAUCAACAUCAAUAUAAAUGGUAAACAAUUUUUUUUUACCUUUAUACGAAAAUUGCUUAAGCAUUGAAGUGAGAAAUUCAAUUGAUGUAGUGUCAUUAUCGAUUAGCAGAACUGAAAUAUCACCAAUGCGUUCAGGAACUAUGUUUCCAGCCAAAUUUACGGUCAACUUUUCAGUCAUAUUUUCAAAAAUAUAUGAUAUGAAGGUUUGAAAUAAUAACCGAGUUAAGGGGAAAUAAGCUAUUGCAUGGACGUAUAUAAAAGAAAGAAUAGAAAUUGUAGACCCAACAAGGUCAUAAAUUGCAAACAACACCAGAUGAAGAAAACUAUUUUAAUUUCUAUCAAAUAUAUUUCAUUUCAUCAUUGACCCUACCUAUAAUAUAUUUUUUUAACUCUAAAAAUAUACCCAGUCUAAAGUAUAAUCUAUUAGUUUAUAUAAUUCAAAAUCUUAUCAAACACAUGGUAAAUGAUAUUAUAGCAUUGGUAGUGAUAAAUAUAAUUAUUUUGGGAAUAUUAUAGUGUUUCUUGACCGAUAUAAUUUGAGAAUUUACACGAUAGUCAUCGACUUAAAAAUCCAUAUAUAGUUAGUUGUUAUUUCAUUUAUAAAUUUUGACUAGAAAUAUACAAUUAGUUCAUUUUUUAUACAAUGUUUUAGAAAAUGAUUAAUUAAUUAACAAAAAGUAAACAUAGAAAAUUUUUGUAUAUGCAUAAAAGAUUUUUCAUAGAAAAAUUUGGUGGAAUUAUGUUUUCUCUUUUUUCUUAUAAUUAGAUAAUAUUUUUAUUUCAGUCAGGAAAAAAUGUAGCUACAGAUGUGUUUUAGAUUUAUGGAAGCGUAAAAUAUUCUUAAUAUGUAAAGUAAUAUAAGUUCUCUAUAUAUUACACAAAAUAUAAUUCAAAUUUUGUUAAUAGUUUUGAUAUCAAAAGUUAUUCAUGCAUGCGUUUUACAAUUCGAUCCUUACCUUAUUUCGAGUACAAUAGGCAUGUGACUGGUCAAGUUUUUAAACUCUUAAGUAACUUCCAUAAUUACGUAGAAACUCAAAAAAAUUCAAGAAUAGAAUAAGGUUCAUCUUUUUAUAAAUGUUUAAUUUGAAACGUAUGCUAACACUUUAAAAUAAAGUAUUGAUAAUUAUAUGUUGUGAUGUUGUGUAAUGUAUAACUAAUGCUCGUUUAGUAGUGAACUCGUGAUCAAUGAUGGACUCCAGCUACAAGUUUGUUUUCCUUCCGAUCUGUUCACUACACUACAAGAAAGAAGACCUUUUAUAUUGGAAGAUAUCGACGUAAAAUCGACGUAAUGGGCCAUUUACGUCAAAUUAGUGACGAAUGAAAAAUUAUCGUAAAACAAUCAUCGUAAAAGAGAAAUCGUCGUAAAAUCUUCGUAAAUUACCAACACAAUAAAAUCGUCAGAAACAAUUCGUCGCAAAAACGACGUAAACGUUCCAACGAAAGUACGACGAAUUAAUUUUAACACAACAACGACGUAAAAUCGAUGUAAAAUUACAUCGGAUUUACAACAAUUUCGAGACGAUCUAUUUCGCAAAAGUCAAAUAAAUUUAUUAUAGAUCGACGUAAAAUCGUCGUAAUAUAUCGACGUAAAGUCGACAAAAAGUAUAUGGACGUUUUAAAAUAUUUGCCUUUAAUUAGACGUAAAUUUACGACGAGUUUACGUCGAAUUAGAAAAAUAAUUAUUAAAAUUGGAUUUUAAUUUAAUUAUUGAAUUUUUAAAAUAAUCAAAUAAAGGAAAAUUUAAAUUUAAAUUCGAAAAUAAUUCAUAAAUUAAAAUACAAAAUUAAAUACAAUUUAAAAAAAAUAAAAACUAAUCUACACAGUAAAUUCAUAAUCGUCGAGGUUGAGAUCGACGUCUCGAGGAGGCUCUCCGUCAUGUCCGUCCGUCGCUGUUGUACCAUCGUUUCCCGUCUGCACUACGGGAUCCGAAGUCUGACCCUGCGUCUGCUGGUCAGAAGGUCCACCCGCAAUAAUCCUGUGUGCUCGCCGUUGCCUCUCUCGAAAGUGGAUCGUGAAUAUUUCUAAUCCGUUUUUGAAGUCUUCAGUCAAUGACCCAUCAACAUUUUUGGGCGUAUACAUCCACUUUCGUAGAUCGUAUAUAGACAUUUAAAAACAAAUAAAUGACUUUUUGUUUUUGAAUUUUGAUAUAAAUUUCAACUACUAAAAAUUUUACUCAAACAUUCAAAGACUCAAAAAAUUGUGUCUUUAUAUGUUUUUUUGGUUGAUGGAAUAAUGAGAGAAGAAAUGGUAUAUAUAGAUUUUUUGUUUGGUUACCAACAUAUUGCCAUUGAAUAUUAACAUCAAAUUUACGUCGAAAUAAAAUUUACAUUAUAUUUACAUCGAUAUUACGUCAACUACAAGAUGGAGGCCAAUUCAUCGUAUUAUCGAUGUAAAAUUUACGACAAUGUUACGACGAAAUGUAAUUCGUUCUUUAUUCGUCAUAAUGUUGUCGUAAGUUUAUGACGAUUUUACGAGAAUACUAUUUUAUAUCGAAACGACGAAAUAUUUUGACGUCGUACGUAAUUUCGUCGUAAAUUUACUACGACCAUAAAUCGACGUAAAAAAUUCGUUGGAAAUGUCCCUCUUUCUUGUACUAUACAAGGAUUCAUAAAUAAUGAAGCUGUUUUGUUCGGUGAGUGCAUUAAUGUGAGUUAUACAAAAUUUACAUUGGUUACAAAAUUAGGAGACCAUCUCCAUCGGUUUGUUAGGUAAUUUAGAUAAUAAUAAAAAUUAAGAAAUGAUUAAAAAGUUAACAAUUCGGGUUGUUAGGUUGUUGUGGAAGAACCCAGGAAUAUAUAAAAACGUGGCACCAUGUCAUUGGUGGAAGAUUUUUUAUGUGUGUGGGCUAAAAAUCAGGAAUAAGCCCACAUAAAAAUUCUUAAUUUUUUUAAUUAAAAAUUCAUAAUUAAAAAAAUUUUAAGAAACCCAAUCCCAGGUUUAGGGAUGGAGAUGUUUUGCGUGAGUACAUUUUCUCUUUCUUAUAUAAAGUGGAUCCACCAUAACUCCUAAACUAAAUGAGACACACGAUGAGGCCGCAUACAGUGUGGAGAAGGUACACAAAUUCCGCAUUAUCGUUAUAAAAGCUAUGCGAAGUCUUUAAAAAUUAUCUACCGUUCUAAUAACUAACUAAAGUAAUCACGAGAAAUAGUAGUUGGAUAACAAGAUUUUUUUUGUCUUUCUGCUAAGGGCGAAAAAAGUAAUGUAACCUGAGCUCUUUUGCAUCUCUUCUCCGGCGAUGCCGACAGCGUCGGUCUCAUCCUCUUCUCCUCAUGGGGUAGAAAAAACAACCCAAAAAAUCUCCACCAUCCAAACCCUUGUGCCCUCCUCUGCCGCAGGUGAAAUAACCUUCACCAUCUUUGUUUUCACUCAAUGAAGCCGCAAAUCCCUUUGCUCACUCAGUGGCGGGGGAUCCUUCGUCUCUAGCACAGCAAAUCCUUACUGAUUCUGAUUCUCUAGCCUCGACUGACAGCAACUCUCGCUCAGAUCCAAUUGUGAUAGUUCCUGCAACAGUCCAAGCCCCCAAAUAUCAUUUAUGUAAAAGUUGUUGAGACAACAGAUCCAGAACUGAAGAACUCAUCAGUAGAGGCACCAAUUGUCCCGACAAUCCCUGCCUCUGAAUCUGUUUCCGUGAAAUAGUCUUUGGCUGCAGUUCCGGAAAUCCUAAAAAGUUCAAAACCCACUGUGAGUGAUUUGUGGUCAGGAUUAUUCAAAGGUGCUACGAAGCAACUGCAGAAGAAAGGCACAACUUUUACCUUCCCAUCCGAUGAAGCUUAUGUGAAGAUUCUCAAAUAUGUAAUCGAAAAGAACAAAAAAUCCUGGGAAAGUUUCAUCUGUGGGCAAUUAUACACAGAUACGCCCUCCCAGAAAACUGUUCAUAACAUCGUGAAUGGAAUUUGGAGUAAGCAUUUCUGUGAUAUUACAGUAUCAAAGAUAGAGGGCAAUACCUACCUUUUUCAGGAUACCAAAUCCUUCCACUCGACAAUGGGUUUUAACUCAGAGAUUAUGGCAGAUAGAAGGUAAAACGAUGUUUGUCACGAAUUAGGAGUCUGGCUUUGUUCCAUUGAAGCCCGAGCUCUCGUUGUCCCCUAUUUUGCUGAACUAAGAAAUGUUCCUCUACAGUUCUUCAAUGAAGACGGCUUUGAACACAUUGCGGGAUUUGUUGGAGAGCCAAAAUGUCUCCAGCCUAUAACUGCAAACAAGACAAAUCUGUAAGUAACGAAGGUAUUCACGAUAACUGAUCCUCGUAAACCUCUUUCAGAAGUUGUCAAUAUCCAAUUUGAUUCUGGAGAGAUCAAUAGAGUUUUAGUGUCCAGUCUGUGGAUGCCACCACUGUUUUAGUUCUGUAAGAGGUGAAUCAUCAUCUGAGGCAGUGCAAUGAAGCUCCAAUCUUUUGCAAGAAGUGCAACUCAAAAAUUCACGUGGAAGAGAAUUAUGCAAGAACCGUCCUACCUGAACAAAAUAAUCCAAACUCCCAUAGAAACAGAGCCAAGGGAUUAGCUGGAAAUACUUAGAAGUGGGUUAAAGUUGCUGAGAAAUCAUCUGCCAAAUCUGUCAAGUUUACUGAGUCUUCACUGGGGAAAGAAAACAAAUCUUCAAAGGGAGAGUUCAGUGGCGCUGUGGUCUGGUACAUCUUCAAGGGAAGAUCGACGAAAAUGUUAAAGGUCCUCCUAUCCCUGACACAAAAAAAUCAUCAGGAGUGGAAUCAGAUUCUUCGGACGUUGCUUUUGUGGACUUCAGCAAUGUUGUAAACCUGCAGGGUGAGCAGAGUGAGUUCGCAGAGGUAGUUUCAAAAAAGAAGAAGAAGGAUAAGAGGGACAAGAGCCCCAACAAAAGCAGCUUAAUAAAUGGUUGAAGAAAAACAAACCGUUUUAUGAGAGUAUUAUAGAAACCCAUGUGAAACAGCCUAAAUGUAGGAAUUUCAUUAAUAGAUCGCUUCCCGGCUGGUCUUUUGAACAGAAUUAUGAUUUCUCCAUUUAACAAGUGUAAAGGCUGUUGUGGUGGCUAAGUCUUUGCAGAUGAUCACCUACAAAGUUAUGUUUCCUGAUGUGCAGCAGUGGGUUAUUUUGUCAGUGAUGUAUGUUUCUACAGUUGAGACUCUGAAAAAGGAUCUUUGGGCAGAGCUGAUUGUUUUGUCUUCAAGCCAGACUGUUGAAGAAAAAGAAUGGAUGGUCAUUGAGGAAUUUAAUCAAGUUCUCCAUCUACAUGAGCAUUCAAGAGCUAUUACUCUUAAUGUGGAUAGGAGGACAAGAGAAUUCAGGCAGUGUUUGUUGUCGGCUGAGGUGUCAGAUUUGAACUACUGAGGAAACACAUUUACUUGGUGGAAUAAAUGUAGUGCCAGGCCAACUGUGAAGAAGUUGGACCACAUUCUUGUAAAUGAGGUUUGAUCUACUUUUUUCCCCUCUUCAUAUGCAAUAUGUGGAGAGCAUGGUUUUUCAGACUAUGCUUCUUGUGUUGUCGUCUUGGAGUUGGGUUCUCAAAGGCAGAGGAGACCUUUUAAAUUCUACAAAUUUUGCCUCCAGAACCAAGACUUUUACCCUCUGGUUUGUGAACAUUGGUUCUCAUGUAACAUGGUGGAAUCAGCAAUGUUAUGUCUCUCAAGGAAGCUUAAGCUUCUGAAAAAUGUCAUAUGUAGAUUCAGUAGAGAUAAUUUCUAGGAUUCAGAGAAAAGAGUUAUUGAAGCUCAUGAGAAGCUUUUGCUUUGCCAGUCUUAGACUCUAACUGAUCUGUCUCGAACAAAUGCAAAACUGGCGUUUGAAGCACAAAGAAAGUGGCAGAUCCUGGCAAGUGCUGAAGAGUCCCUUUUCUGCCAGAGAUCAAGUGUAACCUGACUUAAAGAAGGUGAUUGUAACACUUCUUAUUAUCACAGAAUGACUGCAUCUAGGAAAGCCAUAAAUCACAUUCACUUCCUUAUUGCACCAGAUGGAGAACAUUUUGAAUAUCAAACAGGAGUUUAAGAGCAUUGUGUUGAUUAUUUCUCACACUUUAUGGGUUGUGAGGUUGGUCCCCAGAUGCUGAUCUAGUCGGAUAUGGAGCUCCUCCUUCCAUUUUGAUGCUCUCAGGCCCAAAAAGAGAGUAUGAUAAAGAGCUUCUCGAAGGAGGAAAUCAAACACCUGCUUUUCUCAUUGCCAAAAAACAAAACCAGUGGACCUAAUGGGUAUUCCGCUGAGUUUUUCACCUGUUACUGGAGUAUUGUAGGGCUGAGGUAUGUGAGGCAGUUGAAGAAUUCUUCCGAUUUGGAAAGCUGCUUCAGCAAUGGAACACUACAACUUUGAUCCUCAUUCUCAAUAUCACAAACGCCUCUUCAACAUCUGAUUUCAGGCCAAUAUCCUGUCUCAACACUAUUUACAAAGUCAUAUUCAAGUUAUUGGCAACCAGAUUUCAGAAGAUCCUGUCUCAGGUAAUAUAUCCCUCUUAAUAGGUUUUCAUGCCAGGUAGGCUGCUUGCAGAAAACGUUCUACUGGCUACGAAAAUUAUGCAUGGCUAUAACUGGAGGAACAUCGAUUCCAGAGCAAUGCUUAAGGUGGAUCUUAGAAAGGCAUUUGAUUCAGUAAGAUGGGACUUUGUCCUCUUGACCUUAAAAGCGUUGGAGUUAUCAGAAAUAUUUGUUAAAUGUAUCAGUCAGUGCAUCACAACUCCCUCGUUUACAAUUUCAGUUAAUGAUAUCACCAGAUGCUACUUCAAAAGCGCAAAAGGAUUAAGGCAAAAAGACCCUCUCUCUCCUUACCAUUUUUCCUUGCAACGGAGGCCUUCUCAGGAUUUUCCACUCUAGAUUUGAGGCUGGGUAUAUCCAUUACCAUCCCAAGACGGCAGAACGGAACAUAUCUCACCUGAUAUUUGCAGAGGACGUGAUGAUUUUUUUUAUGGUGGGAGUUCAUCGUUACACAGCAUAACUGAAGGAUUAGAAAACUUUGCGUCUUGGUCAGGAUUGCACAUGAACAGAGACAAGACUCAACUAUUUCAGGCAUGAGUAAACCACAUUGAAUCCACUGCAAUGGCAAGCUAUGAAUUCACUGUAGGUUCACUAUCAAUCCAAUACUUGGGUCUUCCCCUUAUGCAUCGUAAACUGAGACUCUCUAAGUAUGACCUCCUUUUGGAGAAGCUUGCUAAUAUAUUCAGAUCUUGGGCUGUUACAACCCUCUCAUUCCCAGGGAGAGCUCAGCUGAUUGCUUCAGUGAUAUUAGGAACCGUCAACUUCUAGAUUUCCACGUUUAUGCUCCCCAAAGGUUGUAUUAAAAAUUGAAUCUCUGUGUGCUAGGUUAUUGUGGUCUGGUAGUAUUGUGACAAGAUGAGGAGUAAAAGUAGCAUGGUUUACUGUGUGUUUGCCUAACUCUGAAGGAGGUCUGGGCCUGAGAAAAUUUUCUGUGUGGAACAAGACGCUAUGUCUGCGGUUCAUUUGGUUACUAUGCUCUGAAAGUGGAUAUCUCUAGGCUGAAUGGCAUAUCAGAGCUUCUGGUUGGUGGAGGCAUAUUCAGCUGAUUCAUGGACGUGGAAAUCUCUAUUGGAUCUUAGACCAUUGGCUGAAAUGCUCUUAGGAAAUCUGUUGGAAAUGGACGAAAAACAAAUUUUUGGUUGGAUUUUUGGACACCUCUUGGUCCACUAAUUAAACUUCUGGGUAAUGAUGGCCCGAGAAAUAUCAGGCUCCGUCUUUCUGCUAUAGUCGCAGAUACAUGCACAAUGGAGACUUGGAGAAUCCCAUCGCCAAGAUCUGUAGCACAGCUGAGUCUCCAUAUGCACCUAACGACUAUCAACUUACCUUCUUCCUCUCAGAUCGAAGAUGACUGUUUUUGGUUGGAAAAUGGUGUUAAGUGCAGCCAGUAUUCCUCCUCUAAGACUUAGGAUGAUCUAAGGCCACAACAAGGUGAAACAGUGGUCUAAGCUUGUAUGCUUUAAAGAUUGUGUUUCGAGGCAGGCUUUCAAUAUAUGGAUUGCACACUUGAAUAGGCUCCCCACUAGAGCCAGAAUAGCUUUUAGAGGAACAAAUAUAUUCACAGAUUGUUGUCUUUGUUCCAGAGACGAGGAAACGAGAGAUCAUUUGUUGUUCAGUUGUGCUUAUAGCUCGGAAAUCGGAAAUCUGGAGGCUGAUACUUACAAGGUUAGACCAUACCCAGAGUCUGUUCAUCUUGUGGUCGGAGUUGUUAUCAUGGAUAAGUAUGCGUUCUGAUGCUGCCCCUUAUACCUGAAAGGUGGUGGCUCAGGCUAUGGUUUACCACAUUUGGAUGUCAAAGAAACAAUUUGCUGCACAACUAAUAAAGGAUUCCUGCAUCCAGCAUUUUCAAGUCCAUUGAUCGUGUGACUCGAAACACCAUUACUACGAGAAGACAAAGACGUUGCUUUAGCAACUUUAAUGUCUCUUUGGCUUCAAUGAAACAAUAUAAAAUCUAAUUUACUGUGUAUUGUUCUCCUUGUUUUUUAUUUCUUUUUUGCCAAGGAAGUUUUGUAACAGGUUAGCAUCUUUUAUAACCUUCUUUUCAUUUUAAUGAUAUUAACAUUCAUAGCAAAAAAAAAAAAAAAAGAAAUGGUACUUGCAAUGUUUUACACCAUGUUUGUGUUUUAAAAAUAUUUCACACUACAUAUUCAAAGUUAUAAUGCAGGAUACAAUUUGUUUCUAGUCGAAAAGGUCAAAAAUAUCCAAAUUUUUUAUGUGGUGUUUUCAAGAAUUAUGCUUUUAAGAGAAUUUAAGAAAAUCGGACUAUUCUAUCGAGAUACUAUAACUUAUUCAACAGAAUAUCUAAAGCAUUUGUUCUGAAAGCAAGAAUUCUAGAUGCUCUUCUCCCCAUUUGUUUUUGGUCGAAUGCCACAAAAGAUGUUGAGAAUUAGGCACAAGAACCGGGUUCAAUAAGUUGACAAAUACCAAACCGAGGACCGACGUGGAAUCGUGGAGAAAAAGUUACAUUACAAUAAAGAUAAAUAAAGAAAAGGGAAGAUGACGUAAAGCUCAGAUUUGGAGCCUAACGAACUCCACGUCACCGCCUAAGUUCAUCCAUUGAAAUUUGACGGCGUCUUCUACUCUUCUAUCAUAACCCUUCGUUCUUUCAUGUGAACCACGUCACCGCCAUUCUCUUUUUUUUUUCUUUCUUAAUACAUUUCUCAAUAUGCGUCCAAUAUCAUAAAUAUAAUAUAUAUAUAUAUAUACAAUUUAACCUAUUAAGGCAUUGCAACUUGUAGUGAACUUUCAAAGGAACUUGCAUCCACAAAUUUAAACAUUUUUGCAUGUUGUAGAAUUGAACACGAAUAAUAAAGUGUGUAUUGAUGAUACACUUGUGUUACUUAUUUGACAAUUUAUUUGGUUUUCUUAGAAAAACUGAAACUGGCUUAUACAGUAUGUUUGUACACAUUUUUUGUAUUCGAAGAAAUUGGGGCAUCAUACAGUGACAUUGCUAUUAAUGUUUCUUCUAUAUCAAACCAAGUGAUAACAAAAUAUAAAAAGUAAUAAUGUUGACUUGUAAAUAAAGUAAGAAAAUUAAAUUCUGUCAUUUCAGAAGAGGAAGUAUGUCACAUGUAUAAUAGAUCAUCGAUACUUUUCAUGAGAACUUCCACAAGAAAGCCAUUGACUUCUUAUACCUUUCUCAAUUUUCCAGCUUGACCCAUUUUUUUCUUUUGAAGUUAUGAGAACUUUAUGUAUAAAAACAUUUUAGACUAGACCUCAAGAAAAUUCAGAUAUUUUUAUAAUUUGUGAAAAAAAUGUUGAAAUAAAUUGAUUGGAUUAUUUCUAUUACUAACGUUAAUCCAGUAUUAUGGUGGUCUAUAUUAUUAUUAUAGCCACCUAUACGGAAUGUUGAUGUGCCAAACAAUGGAGACACACAUUGUGUACUUGGAUUAAUGAAUAAAAUGACAUGUAUCAGUCUAUGGGACACAUAGUAAACUAGAUUAUUUCAUACCUAAAAUGCUAUAAUAUUUGAUUGAUAAAUGAUAAGAACAAAGAAAAGUUCUUGCAAGUUUGAAAAAAAAAAAGAGAAUAUCUUGACUCGUGCGGAUCUCAAACUUUUCUUUUCUAUCCUCUUCUCAAAUUAUAUUCCAAGUAAAACACGCAAUUACCAUAAGAGUUAAACAAUAUAAAAAGAGUUCUCAACUAAAUCUUCCAAAAGAGGCUUUCUCUUAUGGUUCACAUGUAAGUAUAUACUUUAAUUUACAUAAAAUUUAAUUUAACGAAUCCUAAUGAGCCUAUUUUCUGAACACGUACAAAUCAAUUUAAUGCAUAUCUUCACAUUUACACAAGAAUAAAGAAACUACACAUAUUUUUACUCCAUUGCUUCUGAAUUUAUAUAAUUCUUUCCAUUUAAUAUGAUUGAGUUUUUAUCCCUCUAACAAGGAAAAAUAUUAUAUAUAGAUACAAGGAAAGCCCAUUUCAUUAUCUAUCUUCUCUUUGAUUCAGCGAGCGAAAUAAAAACAAAAGGCCAAAAAUGGGUGCAGACGCAAUCCAAACGAACGGUCACGAUCCCGCCAAGUUAACCGCCGCGAGAGGGAUCCAACGGUUGAGAUGCGCCGUGAAGAACUACGAGUGGGGCAAACUCGGACCGGACUCACUUGUUGCGAGGCUCCACGAGGCGAAUUCAGGGGACCGAGUCGACCCGGUGGUUCCUCACGCCGAGUUGUGGAUGGGUACUCACGAGUCGGCACCGAGUUACGUUGUGAAGGAAGAAGAAUUCGGGUCGGGUCGUAAUGGAUCCGAAUGCAUGGUUACAUUGAAAUCAUGGGUUUUGGAUUAUCCGAAUUUACUCGGGUCUAGAGUCGUGGACAAAUGGGGUUGUGAUCUUCCUUUCCUCUUCAAGGUAUUAUAUUUUAAAAGUUUCCAAUUAAAACAUGUAUAUUCAAAACCUUCUUUCAAAAAAAAAAAAAAACAUGUAUAUUCAGAUUCUGUUUAUGGUAAAUCUUUUUGUUUUUCCAGUUUUGUCUCAUACAUAAUUGUUCAGGAACAAAAGUAUUAUUUAUUUGAUCCUAAGAUUCUCAUUUUGAAUAUUUUUGCUCUGUUUUGAGGAUUUUACUUUUUGACUCUGUUUUCUUAUAAAAUUUCUAAUUAAAAGUCAAAACAUAUAUAUAUAUAUAUAUAUAUAUGUAUUUUUUUGUAAUUUCAGAUUCUGUGAAUUGUCAAUUUCUCCACUUUUUAUAUUUACAUAUAUUAUAUAUACAGCCAAUUUGUCUUGUUAGAUACAUAUAUAUUUUGGCUCUGUUUUGAGGAUGAUACAUUUUAACUCUGUUUUCUCAAUUUAUAAAAAUGCAUUUCUUUUUCUCUGUGUGUUUUAAAUUUAAAACAUAAAGGUUUGAUUCUAAUGAAUAAGAGUUUGAUGUUGAAAUGUGCAAAAAAUAAAAACAGGUUUUGUCAGUGACGAAAGCAUUGUCGAUUCAAGCACAUCCAAACAAAGCCUUAGCAGAGAAAUUGCAUAGAGAAGAUCCUCUUCUUUACAGAGAUGCUAACCAUAAGCCUGAGAUUGCUCUCGCCAUUACUCCUUUUCAAGCUCUUUGUGGUUUCGUAUCUCUUAAUGUACUAGAUUCUUCACUUCUCUGCAAACAUCUAAUUUAGUCGGUUUUUGAUUUAGAUAACUUCGGUUAUUUUGCCUAUCACAUAUGCUAAAUCCAAAAUUGAACCGGUUCUGUACCACUUUUGAUAUCAAAUUCAGGAGCUGAAGGAAGCCAUCGCCAAUGUACCAGAAAUCACAGAGCUUGUCGGAAGUAAAGCAGCAGAUCAAAUCUUCAAAGUCAACGAACACGAUGGAGACGAAACAAGUGUUAAAUCCGUUGUCCGUUUGAUUUUCACGCAAUUGAUGUCUGCAAACAUCAAUGAUACAAAGCAAGUCAUAUCACAGAUGAAGAUUCGUCUGAUCUCAGAAACAAACCACCGUGAGUUAUCGGAGAAGGAGAAGUUAGUAUUGGAACUAGAGAAACAGUAUCCAGGUGACGUGGGCGUGAUCUCAGCAUUCUUCUUUAACCACGUCAAGCUUAAUCCCGGAGAGGCUUUGUAUCUUGACGCCAACGAGCCACACGCUUACAUUUCCGGCGACUGUGUUGAGUGUAUGGCGGCUUCAGACAACGUUGUUAGAGCUGGUCUCACUCCGAAACACCGCGAUGUUCAAACUCUGUGUUCUAUGCUGACCUACAAAUUGGUAACUUUCUUUACACGUUAACGUUUUUUUUGGUUUAGUUGGCUAGCAAAAUUUGGAUUGUACCCUAACCCUAACCAAAACCGAAAAUUUAUUUUUCUUUGUUUGGUUAUUGAUUAAUUGUACCGGAUUUGUUUCAGGGCUACCCGGAGAUUUUGAAAGGAUUUCCUCUGACUCCAUACAUUACGAGAUACCUUCCACCAUUUGAUGAGUUUGAAGUGGACCAUUGUGAUCUUCCUAGAGAGAAAUCCACUGUUUUUCCGGCCAUACCAGGGCCAUCGGUUUAUCUGGUUAUUGAAGGAAAAGGGACAUUGAAAACCGGUUCAUCUCAAUUGUUGGUUAAACGAGGAGAUGUUUUGUUUGUUCCGGCACAUAACGAGAUUCACGUAACCGGAGAAAGUGAUGUGAUGAAGCUUUACAGAGCUGGAGUCAGCAGCAGAUUCUUUCAAACAAUGUAGACUAAGUAAAGAUACAUAUAUAUAUAUUUAAUUUGUUAUCUAAAUGUAACCAUAGGGAUCAAGGCAUUGACGUGAUCAUAGUCAAUAUUGGUCCAUGUUCUUUAAUCCUACAAAUGUCCCAUUACGAAUCAAGGGUUCAAGGGGUUGUUUUUCUAUUAACUUUUGUUGUUUCUUCUACACCUUUAAAAUUGAAUUAUAUAUGUAAAAUGAUUAUAAAACAAUGUUUUUUUUUUUACUUUUUGCUAUUGUAGUGUAGUAACUAGUAAUUAUUCUUCCUUUACCUGUUUAAACUUUAAUUUCUAGAACUACUCUGCAAAAGCACAUUUGUUCAGUUGUAAUAUGUAGAGAUCGAACCACAGAGACGAGAAAUUCGCUCAAUAAACCUAAUAGACUCUAAUUGCGCUAAGAAGAAAUAAUGAAAUUGAGAGCAGCAAUGCAAUAAAAAACGGUUUUAAAUUCGAUGGGAAAGAAUUAGGCUCAGGGUGUUUCACAGAAAAUCAGAGAAUGCAGACAAAUCGAUUAGUCAUGAUUCAGAUUUAAGCGCAAUUCUUGAACUCAAAUCACGAAAUUAUAAUUAACUAACUUUUGUUGCGAAAAUUAUUUAAAUCUAAAUCCCAGAAUCCCAAUUUUCUUUGCAAUCCUAAAGAUAUAAAUUAGCCUUAAGUGCAGGUUCGAUAUGUUCACAAAGUGUCUAAACCAAUUUUUUUUGUGGAUAGCUACUUUGCUCAUCCUAGGUUCUUUCGGAUUAUUCAAUUACAGUUUCGUGUCAAUCAAUUAACCUAAGAUCUAAGUUCUAGGUGAUCAGUCCAAAAUUAGCUUUAAGAAUAAUCUAUGGUGAAUUACUAAUCAGAUUAUGACCCCUAACUAAUUAAUUAUCUAAAAUUCAAAGGGAUCCCUUAUGAGAACCCUAAACCUAACAAACAAACUACUCAAAUAUGGAGAUUGAAUCAAUAAACAUGAAUGAAUAGAUUGCAGAAAGCAGUAAAAAGAUUAAUAAACAGAGGUUCAAAAUCUUCUCUCAAACAAACAGAGUCUCAGACUUGUCUCCCUAAAAGCUCUCUCAAGAUCAAUAGAAAUCAAAAGUCUCAAAGAAAAUCUAGAGUGUAGCCAAAACACGUGGCUGAAAACCCUAUCAAAAGCUAAAACACAUGUUGGACUUCCCUGUAAAUAUUGGAGACUUCUGGGCUCAAGAGAUUCUUUAAAACUUAGACAAAAUCACGUUUUUCCUUAUUCACGACAUUGGUGUCGAGCAACACCAAAACAUAUAAAUCAUCUUUCACGAAUUUGAUCCCUGCUUAGUUCCAAAAUGCUCUAAAAUCUCCAAUUAAACUCCAAAUACAUUUAAGACCUGAAAAGACUCCAAAAAAUUAAAAAAACACUAAAGAGACUCUAUAAAUAAAACCUAUCAUGAUCAAAAACCAUAAAAAAAAACCAUGAUAUAUCAUUCUCCAUGAUAAGCAUUUUUCGAAUGGUCUGAGUCGAACAAAACAAUGUUCUCUAAAGUAUAAGGCCAAUUCUUUUUGCCUCCCUCGUCACUUACCUUUUGUUUGUGGCUUCCAUGGCAUAGACUAGAGAGAUGACCCCGAGAAGACCUAAUCUAGCACGCAUUUGUUUGGAUGUUGCUAAUGUUCCGUUUUAAAGUACAUAUGCAAAGAUCGUGGAAAGUAAAACGAACUCAAUCUUAAGUCUUGAGACAAUGAUUUUUGCCAAUUUUCCGGUAAGCUUUCCCGGUGAAAUCUUUCACUGGAAUGACCUGAUUAUGGAUGCGCUGGAAACUUGAGUACUAUAACGUGAUAUACUUAUAUGUCAAAAUCGAAUUUAAACUGAAUGAGAAAUGAGGAUUCUUAGAGAGUAUAGCUUGAAAGCUUAAAAAUAACAUAAGUUACCAAAUGACAAGUGUGAUUUGUCCCACAUUAGCAAUUCAACGUUACAUUUUGAACGUAGUGUUACGUUCUCCCCUUGAUAAUACUCAAUAGAUCUGCUUCUAGCCUGUCCCAACAAUCUGAUUCGGAUUGAGAAUUGCGGUUUUUGCGAACGUUGUUAAAGAUUUCCAAAAAAAAAAAUAUUUCAUUACGGCUUUUCACAUCAAAUCGGAAAAACUCUGCUUAGUUUUAACUUUUUAGGGAAUUUGAUAAAUAUUUGACAAACUUUGUGAAAAUAACUUUUGGAGUAGCAAAAUUCCGCAAAAAAAAAAAAAAAACUCAGAGUAAACUUACUGACAAAAGAAAAAAGUUUCCUCAAGUUGGUUUAGUCGCAUUCCUUUUGUCAAGCACUUAAUCCACUACAAAGACGUUUUGUUGUAAUUUAACCGAACUGAACAAUCAUUCCAAAUCUUAAUAAGCAGCUAAAGAGAGACAUUGAGAGACCAAGAUAAACCGGUUUACUUGCACCUACUUGCUGUUUGUUAAAGCUUUGGUUACAAAAUGUGAAACGAUUCCAACCGGACAGAAGAGAAGGCACAAUGAAACCGAAUGCCUCGUCUCAAUCUUAUUCUCUAGCCCAUCAUUAAAAACUUGCCUGCAGAGAAACACUCAAAACAUGAGUUAUAAGAAACAUGCUAGGAUCAAUCAGAACCUGAAAAGUGCAAUAUAGUACCUUGCAGCGAAAAGAUCUAUAACAAGAAGAUGAAUCCAAGCAGAAGCAAGAGUCAUUUCACUUGAGAACAUUUUCGCUAUUCCAGACAACUGCAAAUGAAAAAAAAAAAAAGAAAUUUUAGAAACUGGAAUGUACACAUUUUCUUGUUUUCGAUAUUUCCUGAUAAUUGGAGGAAAAAGCUAAAACCUCUGGCAACAUGUAUUUACUGGAAAACAUGUAUUUGAGAGUAUCAGGCGUCCAAGAAAGGUAUAACAAAUACGCGUAUAAUACGCCUAAGACGAUAUACGGUAUGCUACUCUCCAUACACUUUUUGGUCUGCACAAGGAGAAAACAUACACUCAAUUCAAUAUGAACUUUUUUGAUUCUGCACAAGAAGUUGUAAAACUGCUAAACAAAAACUCACAAUUUCAGCUUUUGGAGCUACAACCAUUAGAGUGUAAAAGGGUAAAACAGCGGUUGUUCCAACCGCAAAUACACUGCUUGCAAUCUGAGAAGUAGCUAUCCCUGCACAAGAACAUGUUAUGUCUCUGUCCUACUUUCAAUUUAAACAUUGAAGAGCUAUAGAUUCUAGACAUAUAUCAAGCCUCUUUUUGGUUUAUAAUGUUUCAGUUAAGAGACAUUACAUGAAGCUCGUACACCAGAGGAUUUCUUUUGAACAAGAGAGGACGAGUUCGAUGAAACAUUAGGGAAAAGUGCGAUUUUUGAUCCUCCGAUAAAGCUCCAACGAUUCUGAAGUCGAAUACUUGACGAACCAACGCAUAGUUUAGACUUGACAUUGCUGAGAGAAAGACUUGUUAUCGAGCUCUUAGCUGAAAUGUUGCGAUUCAUCAUCUGAAUCACCAAACAAAAUGAAUCAAUCUGAUGAAAUAUAAAAAACUUCUUUAUUUCUUAAAAUUUAGGAAUCUGAGACCAAAAGCACUUUGAUCUGAACAACAACGAAUCAGGAACAGAGUUAGGUUCUGUAACAGGGACCCAUGAGGAGUAAAUUCAACUUCUUUAAUGUCUGCGUCAAUUCGAUCUGAUUCAAAGGAUAAAACUUUAAGGUUACCCAUAAGGAAUCUGAACUAUUCGAAAUUGUAGAAAGCUCGACAUAAGAAUCUAAUCCGACAAUCUCCAACAACUGUACAUACAUACAUACAUACAUACAUACAUGAUACAUACAUACAUACAUACACACACAUAGAUAUAGACAUAUAUCUGCGUAUACCGAAAAUUGGAGAAGAAUUGAAAAAGGAAGAGAAAAGGUAGAUACCGAGAGAGAUGAAGAAGACAAAGGCUGGGAAAUGCAAGAAGAUAAAGCCAUCUGCGAUUCAAAUCUUCAAUAGUCUUUGCCAGAAUUUGGCCAUUCAUUACCUUCUUCAACGAGCUCUCUCCAUAUAUAUAUGUAAAGUAUCAAUUUUUAGAGAGGAGAGUUGAGAGUUUUCCACUGGUUGAAAAGGGUAAGUGGAGAAGAAGCUAAGAGAAAAAGUGCUCACUCACUCUUUCUUCAUCAGUGUGGACAAUUAUAGUUGCUCAUCCACCCGAAUUUUUUAAAAAAGUUUUGGUCUUUUUUAGUUUUCCUCGUUUACUUCUGUUUCGCAUAAACAAAAAAAAAAGAAAAAACCAUUAUGAGUUUGAGUUAAUUUUAAAGAGAAAAUCAAAUUUAAAGAUUCUUUAUAUUGUAUGUUCAAAAUUGCAAUAUAUUAUGGAAAAAAAGAGAAGAUUUUUUCCUAAUUUUAGAUAAAAACCUUUAAUAAAAAUCAAAAAAUUAUUAAGAUAUUAAUUUAACCUUAUAUUUUAGAUAUUGUUCUUUUUCUGGUCAAUAUAAAAAAUUACAGUUUACCAUUCUUAUAUAAAAAAAAAUUAAUUAGACUCAAAUGGAAUGUUUUUAUUUUUUUAACAAGAAUAUAACUUUCAUAGAACCUAAUACCCAAAAAAAAAACAUUUGACCCGACUAAAUUAAAAUUCAAGGAAAGAUUGGAGCUUUGAUCCUUUACUCGAUAAAAAAAAGGUUCUUCAUUGUAUGAUCAAAUGACUUGUCGGAUUGUAUUUGUAGGUGGCUCAUCGUAGGAUUAAUAGCUUCUCGGAUUUUGUUAUCCUUGUCUUGUGUUUUGCUUUUUCCGUGAAGAUCAAAAUUUUCUUCUAUACAUUCCUGCUAUAUAUUCCAUCAUGUUCUACCGGUUACACUUAUAAGCCUAUAAGGAUAUCUAAUCUACUUUUUUAUUUGAUAAAAACCUAAUAUCUUUGUUAAUGGAUAUUUGUGCUUAAACUGAAUUUAGACACAACACAGGUCUAGUUCAGGACAGAACAAGACAAAAGUGACAGUGCUACUUCUACUCAGCAGUGGUUGUGACUUCCUCUAAAGACAAAAGUUGGUGUUUCCACCAUUAUUUCGGUUUUGCUUUUAUUAUAUAUUUUAUUUUAAUUUAUUUUUCGCUACAUGAGAAUUGCAUUAACGAAGGACAUUAUAUAUGAAAACAAAAAAAAACAAUAAAAAGAUAUACAUACAUGUGUCUGACACUCAUUGUUUGUGAAAUCAGUUGGGAGUAAGAUAGCGCUUGAGUGGGCUAUUUGGUAUGAUAGCUUCUCUCUAUUGAUGGGCCUUAUUGACCCACCCCACUUCAGUUUUGUUUAGUCAUUCACAACAAGAAAAACAUGAAAACAAAAGCAACACUUGUCUUUUCUAUCUCUCAAUCUGUAAGUGGUAUAUGCGCAUUUCGUUGAAUUCGAUUGAGACCAAAACUCUUUUAAAACAUAAUGUAUAGUUCUUAGGAUUAUAUGGGGAAAAUAUAUGAUGUCUCAAAGAUUUUUCAUAACAUAUUAUAUUCCUUAUAAUAAAAGGUCACCUGGGGUUUUUCUAUAAACCGGGGUUUUUUUAUAAACCGCCGGCUUUUCUAUAAACCGCCGGCUUUGUCUCUGGAGAUGUUGUAUCAUCUGCCGGCUUUGUGUAAUCCGUUGGCUUUGCUCUGUAACACUAUGGUGAUCAAUAUAAUAAUAUUCAAUGAAAAAAAAAAAAGGUCACCUAAAUAAUUAAAAAUUUGAAUUUUUACGACUCAUAUUUCUAUCCUAUUCCAAAGCUAGGAAAACAACAUAAAGAGUUACAAAUUCUUACUAUAUAGUACUUCCAACAAUAUCUUUAUGUAAAUUUGUGCCAAGUCAUUUUGAGUGGAAAAUGUAGAAUAUAUGAUCCACAAGAUCCUUGAAUAUACUUGGGUAUAUAGAAAUAAAAAUGAAUAUCCGAGACUCUUAUCUACAAGCCUAUCCUUAAGAAGGCACGUCCACGAAUGUUUCUAUCACAGAUUUUCAGUGGGCCAUCAUCUAUUACUUCAAGAUAUUGUUCUAAAAAUGCAUCUCAACCUCAAGCUUACUAAUCAUGUGACAAAAGUGAUAAUGUGAAUCUAGUUUUUCAAAUAAUUUCUUUAUUCAAUGACGACUAAUCAAAGAGUUGGUAUAUUUUUGUAUUCACAGUUCUUCAACUUUGUAUAUUUUCAUAUCUUGAGCCGCAUUGUAAUUUGUUUUUUCUUAUAUGCAAAAUUCAAAAUCAAAGAUUUAUAGAACAUUACAUAUUUAUUUCAUCAGACAUUUGAGAAUCCGAUAGAAAAUGUCUCGCAAACCGGAAAACAAACGUUAAAUCCGGAAAUUAAAACAAAACUAAGGAAACCAAAAAAAAAAAAGCAGAUGAUAAAAUCAAAGGUGAGGAGGGAGAUAAAGUUUUUUUUUUUUGAUGUUUACACAAAGCAAAGAAGCAGUGAAAUUAAGCAUCGGUGAAGCUUGCUGGCUUGUAGGCGAUGAAACUGAUGCACUGGACUUGACGGGUGUUGUCGAAUCCGAUGAUCCUAAUGAAGGCCUGGGGGUACUCCUUCUUGCACUCUUGCACUUCCUUCAACACUUGAGCUGAGUCAGUGCAUCCGAACAAAGGAAGCUUCCACAUUGUCCAGUACCGUCCAUCGUAGUAUCCGGGAGUGCUUCCGUGCUCACGGUGCACAAAUGCGUUCUACAAAAACACAUUACACAAAACCAUUCAAAAACAUAAAUCAAGAUUCUGCUUAGGACCUCUAAAUAGUUAUUAACUUGAUUGCAAGAUUCAUAUGGUCCAAGAGAUCAAGCUACUCUAUAAAUGAUUUUUAUUACCUCCAACUCGAAUUCAACACAGGGAAUCCACUUGUUGCGGAGAAGGUAGUCAACUUCCUUAGCCAAUUCAACUUCGGUUAGGUCAGGAAGGUAAGAGAGAGUCUCAAACUUCUUCUUACCAAUAGGAGGCCACACCUAUUUUUUGCCAUUUUUCCAAAAUCAACAAAAACAAUAUUAGUUUAUAUGAUUCGAUAAAUCAAAAACCCAUAAAUUUGUUUUUGGUAUAAGAGAUUUGACCUGCAUGCAGUUAACUCUUCCGCCGUUGCUUGCGAUGGAAGUAAUGUCGUUGUUGGCCUUACGGGUCACAGGGAAAGCAGCGGAGGACUUAAGUCCGGUGAAAGGUGCGACCAUUGUGGCCUGAGCCGGAGAAGCGACCAUUGUAGCGGAAGAGAGCAUAGAGGAAGCCAUAUUGCCUUUACUCUUUUUGUGUGUGACUUAGGUUUGGUCUAGUGCUUUGGUCAUCUAUAUAUAAUGGUAACAACAAUGAUAACAAGGUGAGGGAGUGAUCGGAGGGCUCA
RNAcentral lists this long non-coding RNA (58381 nucleotides) under Eutrema salsugineum. RNAcentral describes it as "long non-coding RNA (ESAL_LNC000110)". Lineage: Eukaryota; Viridiplantae; Streptophyta; Magnoliopsida; Brassicales; Brassicaceae. The record is from RNAcentral.